RNAcentral lists this long non-coding RNA (62231 nucleotides) under Zea mays. Its description in RNAcentral is "long non-coding RNA (ZMAY_LNC000442)". Lineage: Eukaryota; Viridiplantae; Streptophyta; Magnoliopsida; Poales; Poaceae. The record is from RNAcentral.
GCGGACGGCGUUGCGCACGAUGUCCUCGGCCUGUGCGCAUGAGUGCUCGUAGAAACCGACCUCAAGUUUCCCCGGCGAGGCGUGUACGUGUGCCGCUGAUGAGGAGACGACGACGAGCGCCGACAAGGCAAAUGCCAACCAAGUGGACCUCAUGACGAAGGUGAACAAUUGGUCGAUCAGAUGCUGCUCUCUCACUCUGAGCUUUCUAUCUGCUUUAGCUCUGGAGCUCGAUCGAGAUGGUGACGAGGAGAGGAGAUGAAGAGCUGCUUUAGAUGUUACUCUCUAUUUAUACAAUGUGCUUGGAACCGUGUUUGUGAACCGGGUCAACGAAUAAUAAGCAAGACCCAAUAUAAUCCCUGCAUCGCGAUAACAAUCGAGUAACAACUGCUACAAGAACCGUGUCAGUGGACUUUGUAGUACAUAUAUGUCAGCAUGUACCUAAUAAUGUUGCCCAGACUUUGUUGUAGCAGCAAAUGAUGAGCAAAGCAGACAGUUGUUUAGAGAUCGAAAAUGAUGUUAGUUGCUUGAUCAGAGAAUUCAUGGAGACACAUACAGUUAAUUUUUUUAUUGACAUGGUCGAUGCCCCUACCGCAUGACCAGGACAAAUCAAAGCCGUGUCCAAAAUGGAUUGUGUCAUCACUAAGGCAAGGUCCAACCGGACUUUCCUUGUGCUUGCUCUUGAUGUUUCUUGAGUGCAAAAAAAGUUUUAAAAUGUGUUUCUCUGUUAAAUAGGUUUUCCUCAUAAAUUACCAAAAUUUUCUGGCAAUUAUCUCAUUUUCCUAUAGCUAUUUAUAUUUAUUAGAAGGCUCUAAAAUAUUUUUAUGAACUCCAAAUAUUUUAUUUGGAUUCCUAAACCUGUAGGAUGUUAUUUCCUAGAAUUUUCGGAACCUUCGUGACCCUAUCCACUCGUCGGAGUCAUCUCCUGAAUCUCUAAACUAAGGGUGUGUUUGGUUUGGCUUUUGGCUUUGGCUUUUGCCCCCUAAAAGUCAAAAGCCAAACCAAAAGGCUGGAUCCAGAAAGCAGCUUUUUCUAAAAGCUGACUUUCUCAUAGUGCAAAACUGAAAACACACCUAGACCUGCUUUUAGUAGCUUUCGGAUGGAACUGUGAAAACAUAUAUCGAAAUACUUUUAACGGCUUUUAGUGGUUUCACCAAAUAAUUUUUAGCUUUUUAAUAGCUCACAGCCCACAACAGCUUUUUCCACAGCUCACAGCACACAUCAGCUUUUUUCACAGCCACAGCCCAACCAAACAGACUCUAAGUCGUCAUGAUUAUUAGAUGGUCUAAUAUGAGUAGGACUUCAGAAGUAUAAAUAUGGCAAAAAUAUCAUUUGAAUAGAAGAGACAAGUUAGAGUCCUAAACAAAUAAGACAAUAUUCCAACAUAUAAGGUAGAGUCAUAAGCAAAUAAGACAUUAUUCUAACGGAUAAGAAAGUCACACUUGUAACUAUAGAGAGUCAUGUGACUUAAUCGUAUUCAGCACUUUAACCGCCCACCUCCUUGGACUAUAUAAGGAGAGACAAUGCAGCCCCAUGAGCAUAAACCAGAAUAUAACAGAUCAGUAGCCAUCAAAACACUGGACAUAGGGUAUUAUAUCAUGACGAGAGCCUAAACCAGCCUAACCUAUAAAUUGACCCUCGGGAAAUCCUCGAUAGAGGGGUUUGAAGUCCAACCUACAAAAGCAUUAGAGCAACGACUAAGAAAGGCAAGUGUGUUCUUGAUCUCGUUGUUUUACUUAAUAAUGUUUACUAUUAUGUUCUCACCUAUGUAUUGCACUGUUAGAUUAACCCGAUGGGACCUAAUAGGUUACCUAACUUUGUUUUCCCUAUACCUUGUUUACCCCUAAGUUACUAAUUAUUGGGUAGACAUUCUUGUGCUCAACUUUGUUUUUGGGAAUAAUGAUACUUAUGAUUCAUGGUCAUGUUUUAUUAUGAUUUUUAUUGUCGGUUUAUUUAUUGUGCAUGAUAAGUCCACCUUGUUUAAUUGGGACAUGGAGAACCAGUCGAGAAAACAAUGUAACCACAACUACUUUUAUGGCUCUAUUCUUAGCUAAUUGAUCAUGAAAGCUGGUGUGUAAGAACCUACCUCAACAGGACCAAGCAGGGAGGAGUUGCUCAAGUAUAGGGAGGUUCUCAAGUUGAUCUGCUUUGCGGAAGCUUUUCAGACGAGGGGUUUAUAUACCAACUCCAUUUGAAACCGUAGCGGGUUUUCUCAUGCCAGUGGAAAUUUGUAAAGGCCUUGUAGUGAACCCUUCCUCACCUCCCUAGAAGAGAUGUAUGGGACCUUGAGCCCUUGGCAAAUGGGUAACAUAACUAUGGGUAAAGAUGUGCAACCUCUGCAGUGUGUAAAACUGAUAUAUCAGUCGUGCUCACGUUUACGAGCGGCUCGAACCCUCACAUGAUUAAAUUAUGGAAUUAAAUUAAAUCGGACGUGCAUUUUAUUAGGGGCGAAAACGGGUUGGGUAUAUCCCAUUUUUCGAUACGGAUUCAAGUAUUUUUAUACCUGGGACGGAUACGGGUAGUACCUGGAUAGUGCAGCUUCAGACGCGGUACUCGGAUAUUCGGGUCAGAUACAAGCAUAUAAAAUUUGGGUACCCGUUUUAUCUUUUUCUGCAUAAUAUAGUUAUUGUCGGUACCCUGAAUCAGGGGUGCCCUCUUCUACAGCAUGAAGACGCUGUACACGUACGACGCCUCCAGACCACACGGAGAACGGCACCCGACCCCACCACAUGGGUAGGUCUAAGGGCACCACGUGGCAAGGAAAGAUAAUACAUCCUAGGAUGCAUCAUUGGGUCCGGGCCUCCUUAGAGGGACACCGGACCCCUGUACGUACAACUCUAGAGCUCCCAAGAAGGCAUGCCGGGUCCCUCGGGUAGGCCCCGGGUCCCUCCGAGUAAGGUCUGGGCCUUGGCAAGGUCCAGGGACGGGGAGGACCCUGGCAUGAGUAAGGGUCCGGUUCUGGCACGUGUCCAGGCCUUGCCCUACGCUCCCCACUCAGGCGGAGACCCGCUGCUGCCGCGUGGCUUGUGACCCGUGACAUAAGCCAACGGAUCGAGCCUGACGAAAAGCCCCUAAAGCCGCGCAACCUCUGCAUUUAUUGCGGAUAGGUGAGAGCACCUAGAGGGGGGGGUGAAUAGGUGAUCCUGUAACACUUCAAAAUCUUAAGCCACAAAACUUGGUUAAUCGUUAGCACAAUAAUUGCCAAGUGGCUAGAUCGGAAUCCUCAACAAAACACAACAACCAACAAGGAUCAAUCACAGAGAUGACACGGUGGUUAUCCCGUGGUUCGGCCAAGACCAACGCUUGCCUACUCCACGUUGUGGCGUCCCAGCGGACGAGGGUUGCAAUCAACCCCUCUCAAGUGGUCCAAAGACCCACUUGAAUACCAUGAUGUUUUGCUUUGCUUAUCUUUAUCCCACUUGCGAGGAAUCUCCACAAAUUGGAGUCUCUCGCCCUUACACUUAAAGUUCACAAAGAAGCACGGAGUAAGGGAGGGAAGCAACACACACAAAUCCACAGCAAAAUGCGCACACACACGGCCAAGAAUCGAGCUCAAAAGACUAUCUCAAAGUUCUCACUAGAACGGAGCUCGAAUCACUGAGAAUGACAAACGAAUGCGCAAAGACUGAGUGUGGAUGAUCAAGAAUUCUCUAAGGUUGCUUGGUUAUCUCCUCCAUGCGCCUAGGGGCCCCUUUUAUAGCCCCAAGGCAGCUAGGAGCCAUUGAGAACAAAUCUGGAAGGCCAUCCUUGCCUUCUGUCGUCGGGCGCACCGGACAGUCCGGUGCACACCGGACAGUGUCCGGUGCCCGAUUUCCUUCCUUAAAUGGCGAAGCCGACCGUUGGCAGACUUGGAGCCGUUGGCGCACAGGACAUGUCCGGUGCACACCGGACAGUCCGGUGCCCCCUUCUAGCCGUUGGCUCGGCCACGUGUCCCGCGCAGAUCGCGCGGCCGACCGUUGGCCCGACCGACCGUUGGCUCACCGGACAGUCCGGUGCACACCGGACAGUCCGGUGAAUUAUAGCCGUACGUCGCCGGUGAAAUUCCCGAGAGCGGCUAGUUCGCUCGAGACAGCCUAGCGCACCGGACACUGUCCGGUGCACCACCGGACAGUCCGGUGCUCCAGACCGAACAGCCUUUUGGCUGUACACAGCCAACUUUUCUCUGACUCGAUUUCUCCUGUUUCAAGCACUUAGACACAGUACAUUAGUCUUCAAAACAAUGUACUAAGGCUUUAGAAACAUACCUUUACUCUUGAUUUGCACUUUGUCCAUCCAUGAGCAUAAAUUCACAUUUAAGCACUUGUGUUGGCACUCAAUCACCAAAAUACUUAGAAAUGACCCAAGGGCACAUUUCCCUUUCAAUCUCCCCCUUUUUGGUGAUUUAUGCCAACACAACAUAAAGCAACUAGAACAAGUGCAAUAUCACUUCAAAUAAAACUCAAAUUUAUUUUUCUAAGUCAAACACACAUGUUGAAGCAUAAAGAGAGUCAUUCCAAAAGAGAUUGAUCAAAGAUUUCAAAAACUCCCCCUAUUUCCCAUAAUCAACACUUCUCCCCACAAGAAGCCAACUUUUGACAAGAGAGACAAUAAAAGAGUUUGACAAAACAAAAACUCUAUUCUACUAUUUUCAAAAUCUCUCAAGUGGUAGCUGAUCCAUUUAUCGCUUUGGCCUUUAUUUUCUCCCCCUUUGGCAUCAAGCACCAAAACGGGAUCAAUCUUGGCCCUUUAACCCCAGUGCCUCACCAAAAUCUUCAAUUAAGAGCAAAUGGCAAUAAGAGUUCAUGAGAUGAACUUGGAAUAAGUUACCCUCUCAUCGGAGUGCAGUGGAAGUCUUUCAUGGUCCAAGUCCACCUUUUCCCUUUCAAUCCUCCUUCGAGACUAAAUCAUCAAACUCAAGCACAUGGUUAGUCUCAAAGGGUCAAGUUGUAACACAUCUCCCCCUAAACAUGUGCAUCAAUUUGCAACGGACUUGUGAGGUCCAGGGAGUGUUUGUACAACUUGAGCACCACAAUAAGCAACAAAAUGCAGAAGGAACAUGAUCAAAGGCAUAAACACAAGUAUGCUAUAAAUCAAUCCAAGUUCCGCGAAUCUAAGACGUUUAGCUCACUACGCAACCUGCAAAAGGUCUUCUCAUCUAGAGGCUUGGUAAAGAUAUCGGCUAGCUGGUUCUCGGUGCUAACAUGAAACACUUCGAUAUCUCCCUUUUGCUGGUGGUCUCUCAAAAAGUGAUGCCGGAUGUCUAUGUGCUUUGUGCGGCUGUGCUCAACAGGAUUUUCCGCCAUGCGGAUAGCACUCUCAUUGUCACAUAGGAGUGGGACUUUGCUCAGAUUGUAGCCAAAGUCCCAGAGGGUUUGCCUCAUCCAAAGUAGUUGCGCGCAACACUGCCCUGCGGCAACAUACUCGGCCUCAGCGGUGGAUAGGGCAACGGAGGUUUGUUUCUUAGAAUUCCAUGACACCAGGGACCUUCCUAAGAAUUGGCACGUCCCCGAUGUACUCUUCCUAUCGACCUUACAUCCAGCAUAGUCGGAGUCUGAGUAUCCAACCAAGUCAAAGGUAGACCCCUUUGGAUACUAGAGCCCGAAGCAAGGCGUAGCAACCAAAUAUCUAAGAAUUCGCUUCACCGCCACUAAGUGACACUCCUUAGGAUCGGAUUGAAAUCUAGCACACAUACAUACGCUAAGCAUAAUAUUCGGUCUACUAGCACAUAAAUAAAGUAAAGACCCUAUCAUUGACCGGUAUGCUUUUUGAUCAACGGACUUACCUCCUUUGUUGAGGUCGGUGUGUCCGUCGGUCCCCAUCGGAGUCUUUGCGGGCUUGGCGUCCUUCAUCCCAAACCGCUUUAGCAGAUCUUGCGUGUACUUCGUUUGGGAGAUGAAGGUGCCGUCCUUGAGUUGCUUCACUUGGAACCCAAGGAAGUAGUUCAACUCGCCCAUCAUCGACAUCUCGAAUUUCUGAGUCAUUACCCUGCUAAACUCUUCACAAGACUUUUGGUUAGUAGAACCAAAUAUUAUGUCAUCGACAUAAAUUUGGCACACAAACAAAUCACCAUCACAUGUCUUAGUGAACAGAGUUGGAUCGGCUUUCCCAACCUUGAAAGCAUUAGCAAGUAAAAAGUCUCUAAGGCAUUCAUACCAUGCUCUUGGGGCUUGCUUAAGUCCAUAGAGCGCCUUAGAGAGCUUACACACGUGGUCGGGGUACCGUUCAUCCUCGAAGCCAGGGGGUUGCUCCACGUACACCUCCUCCUUGAUUGGCCCGUUGAGGAAAGCACUCUUCACAUCCAUUUGGAACAACCUGAAAGAAUGGUGAGCGGCAUAUGCUAGCAAGAUACGAAUUGAUUCUAGCCUAGCCACAGGAGCAAACGUCUCCUCAAAGUCCAAACCUGCGACUUGGGCAUAGCCUUUUGCCACAAGUCGAGCCUUGUUCCUCGUCACCACCCCGUGCUCGUCCUGUUUGUUGCGGAACACCCACUUGGUUCCCACAACAUUUUGCUUGGGACGAGGCACCAGUGUCCAAACUUCAUUGCGCUUGAAGUUGUUGAGUUCCUCCUGCAUGGCCAAUACCCAAUCCGGAUCUAGCAAGGCCUCCUCUACCCUGAAAGGCUCAAUAGAAGAGACAAAGGAGUAAUGCUCACAAAAAUUAACUAAUCUAGAUCGAGUAGUUACUCCCUUGCUAAUGUCACCCAAAAUUUGGUCGACGGGAUGAUUCCUUUGAAUCACCGCUCGAACUUGGGUUGGAGGUGCCGGUUGCGCUUCUUCCUCCAUCAAGUGAUCAUCUUGUGCUCCCCCUUGAUCACAUGCCUCCUUUUGAUGAACCUGUUCAUCGUCUUGAGGUGGGGGAUGCACCGUUGUUGAGGAAGAAGGUUGAUCUCUUUCAUCUUGUUCCUGUGGCCGCACUUCUCCAAUCGCCAUGGUUCGUAUAGCGGCCGUCGGAACAUCUUCUUCAUCUACAUCAUCACAAUCAACAACUUGCUCUCUUGGAGAGCCAUUAGUCUCAUCAAAUACAACGUCGCUAGAGACUUCAACCAAACCCGAUGAUUUGUUGAAGACUCUAUACGCCUUUGUAUUUGAGUCAUAACCUAACAAAAAUCCUUCUACAGCUUUGGGAGCAAAUUUAGAAUUUCUACUCUUCUUCACUAGAAUGUAGCACCUGCUCCCAAAUACACGAAAGUAAGAUACAUUGGGUUUGUUACCGGUUAGUAGCUCAUACGAAGUCUUCUUGAGGAGACGAUGAAGGUAGACCCUGUUGAUGGCAUGGCAAGCCGUGUUCACGGCUUCCGACCAAAAACACUCGGGGGUCUUGAAUUCUCCAAGCAUCGUCCUUGCCAUAUCGAUUAGCGUCCUGUUCUUCCUCUCUACCACACCAUUUUGCUGUGGUGUGUAGGGAGCGGAGAACUCGUGCUUGAUCCCCUCCUCCUCAAGAAACUCUUCUACUUGAAGAUUCUUGAAUUCGGACCCGUUGUCGCUCCUUAUCUUCUUCACCUUGAGUUCAAACUCAUUUUGAGCUCUCCUGAGGAAGCGCUUGAGGGUCCAUUGGGUUUCAGACUUAUCCUGCAAAAAGAACACCCAAGUGAAGCGGGAAAAGUCAUCAAUAAUAACUAAACCAUACUUACUUCCUCCUAUACUUAGAUAGGCGACGGGUCCGAAGAGGUCCAUAUGCAGCAGCUCCAGAGGUCUUGAAGUGGUCAUCAUAUUCUUGCUGUGAUGCGCUCCUCCCACUUGUUUACCUGUUUGACAAGCUGCACAAGGUCUAUCUUUUUCGAAUUGCACGUUAGACAAACCUACCACAUGUUCUCCCUUUAGAAGCUUGUGAAGGUUCUUCAUCCCUACAUGUGCUAAGCGGCGAUGCCAUAGCCAGCCCAUGCUAGUCUUAGCUAUUAAGCAUGCAUCUAGACCGGCCUCCUCUUUUGCAAAAUCAACUAAAUAAAGUUUGCCGUCUAAUACACCCUCAAAAGCUAGUGAACCAUCACUUCUUCUAAAGACAGACACAUCUACAUUUGUAAAAAGACAAUUAUACCCCAUAUUGCAUAGUUGACUAACGGAUAGCAAAUUGUAACCAAGAGACUCAACUAAAAACACAUUAGAGAUGGAGUGCUCAUUAGAAAUUGCAAUUUUACCUAACCCUUUUACCUUGCCUUGAUUCCCAUCACCGAAUAUAAUUGAAUCUUGGGAAUCCUUAUUCUUGACGUAGGAGGUGAACAUCUUCUUCUCCCCCGUCAUAUGGUUUGUGCAUCCGCUGUCAAUAAUCCAGCUUGAACCCCCGGAUGCAUAAACCUGCAAGGCAAAUUUAGGCUUGGGACUUAGGUACCCAACUCUUGUUGGGUCCUACAAGGUUAGUCACAAUUGUCUUAGGGACCCAAAUGCAAGUUUUAUCACCCUUGCAUUUUGCCCCUAAUUUCCUAGCAAUCACCUUUCUAUCCUUUCUACAAAUUGCAAAGGAAGCAUUUAAAGCACAAUAAAUUGUAGAAGGUUCAUUCACUACUUUCCUAGGAGCAUGAAUAAUAUUCUUUCUAGGCACAUGAUGAGUAGCAUUUCUCCUAGACAUUUUUCUACCAUGCAUAUAGGAAAAACUAGAAGCAAACAUGUCAUGAGAAUCAAAAUCAUCAUAAGCAUUACAACUCCUAUAAGCAUUUCUAGUUUGUCUCCUUUCAUGAUACAUAAAAGCAUGGUUUCUUUUAGUACUACUAGCCAUAGGAGCCUUCCCUUUCUCCUUGGCGGAGAUAGGAGCCUUAUGGCUUGUUAAGUCCUUGGCCUCCCUCUUGUAGCCAAGUCCAUCCUUAAUUGAGGGGUGUCUACCAAUCGUGUAGGCAUCCCUUGCAAAUUUCAGCUUAUCAAAUUCAUUCUUGCUAGUCUUAAGUUGGGCAUUAAGACUAGCAACUUCAUCAUUUAAUCUCGAAAUUGAAACUAGGUGUUCACUACAUGCAUCAAUAUCAAAAUUCUUACACCUAGUACAAAUUAUAACAUGUUCUACACAAGAAUUAGAUUUAUUUGCUACUUCUAAUUUAGCAUUUAAAUCAUUGUUAACACCUUGUAAAGUAGAAAUGGUUUCGUGACAAGAAGAUAAUUCACUAGAGAGCAUUUCAUUCCUUUUAAUUUCUAGAGCAAGAGAAUUUUGUGCACUAACAAAUUUAUCAUGCUCCUCAUAUAAAAGAUCCUCUUGUUUUUCUAGUAAUCUAUUCUUGUCAUUCAAAGCAUCAAUCAACUCAUUAAUCUUAUUAAUUUUAGAUCUAUCUAAUCCUUUGAAUAAGCAUGAGUAAUCUAUCUCAUCAUCAUCACUAGACUCAUCCUCACUUGAAGUAUAAGUACUAGUAUCAUGAGUGCUUACUUUCUUCUCCCUUGCCAUGAGGCAAGUGUGAUGCUCGUUGGGGAAGAGAGAUGACUUGUUGAAGGCGGUGGCGGCGAGUCCUUCAUUGUCGGAGUCGGAGGAGGAGCAAUCCGAAUCCCACUCCUUUCCGAUAUGUGCCUCGCCCUUGGCCUUCUUGUAAUGCUUCUUCUUCUCCCUUUUGUUCCCCUUUUCCUGGUCACUUUCAUUAUCGGGACAGUUAGCAAUGAAAUGACCAAUCUUACCACAUUUGAAGCACGAGCGUUUCUCCUUUGUCUUGGUCUUGCUUGGCUGUCCCUUGCGACCUUUAAGUGCCGUCUUGAAGCGCUUAAUGAUGAGGGCCAUCUCCUCAUUAUUUAGCCCGGCCGCCUCAACUUGCGCCACCUUGCUUGGUAGCGCCUCCUUGCUCCUCGUUGCCUUGAGAGCAAUGGGUUGAGGCUCAUGAAUAGGACCGUUCAACGCGUCGUCCACGUAUCUCGCCUCCUUGAUCAUCAUUCGCCCGCUUACGAACUUCCCAAGAACUUCUUCGGGCGACAUCUUGGUGUACCUAGGAUUUUCACGAAUGUUGUUCACCAAAUGAGGAUCAAGAAUGGUAAAAGACCUUAGCAUUAGGCGGACGACGUCGUGGUCCGUCCAUCGCGUGCUUCCGUAGCUCCUUAUUUUGUUGAUAAGGGUCUUGAGCCGGUUGUAUGUUUGUGUUGGCUCCUCGCCCCUUAUCAUUGCGAAUCGACCAAGCUCGCCCUCCACCAACUCCAUCUUGGUGAGCAGGGUGACAUCAUUCCCCUCAUGAGAUAUCUUGAGGGUGUCCCAGAUUUGCUUAGCAUUGUCCAAGCCGCUCACCUUAUGGUACUCGUCCCUGCACAAAGAGGCUAGCAACACAGUAGUAGCUUGUGCAUUUUUAUGAAUCUGUUCAUUAAUAAACAUGGGACUAUCCGUACUAUCAAAGUGCAUUCCACUCUCUACAAUCUCCCAUAUGCUAGGAUGGAGAGAGAACAAGUGACUACGCAUUUUGUGACUCCAAAAUCCGUAGUCCUCUCCAUCAAAAUGAGGAGGUUUACCAAGUGGAAUAGAUAAUAAAUGAGCAUUAGUACUUUGAGGAAUACGAGAGUAAUCAAAAGAAAAGUUCGAAUUGACCGGUUUCUUUCUCUCGUAGUCGUUGUGGUCGUCGUCCUUUUGGGAGGAAGUAGACUCAUCGCUGUCGUAGUAGACGAUCUCCUUGAUGCGUCUUGUCUUCUUCUUCUUCCCAUCUUUGCGUCUGUGGCCCGAGCCCGAGUCGUUGGACUUGUCAUCCCUUGGCUCGUUGACGAAGGACUCCUUCUCCUUGUCGUUGAUCACGAUUCCCUUCCCCUUAGGAUCCAUCUCUUCGGGCGGUUAGUCCCUUUCUUGAAGAGAACGGCUCUGAUACCAAUUGAGAGCACCUAGAGGGGGGGGGGGUGAAUAGGUGAUCCUGUAACACUUCAAAAUCUUAAGCCACAAAACUUGGUUAAUCGUUAGCACAAUAAUUGCCAAGUGGCUAGAUCAGAAUCCUCAACAAAAUACAACAACCAACAAGGAUCAAUCACAGAGAUGACACGGUGGUUAUCCCGUGGUUCGGCCAAGACCAACGCUUGCCUACUCCACGUUGUGGCGUCCCAGCGGACGAGGGUUGCAAUCAACCCCUCUCAAGCGGUCCAAAGACCCACUUGAAUACCACGAUGUUUUGCUUUGCUUAUCUUUAUCCCACUUGCGAGGAAUCUCCACAAAUUGGAGUCUCUCGCCCUUACACUUAAAGUUCACAAAGAAGCACGGAGUAAGGGAGGGAAGCAACACACACAAAUCCACAGCAAAAUGCGCACACACAUGGCCAAGAAUCGAGCUCAAAAGACUAUCUCAAAGUUCUCACUAGAACGGAGCUCGAAUCACUGAGAAUGACAAACGAAUGCGCAAAGACUGAGUGUGGAUGAUCAAGAAUGCUCUAAGGUUGCUUGGUUAUCUCCUCCAUGCGCCUAGGGGCCCCUUUUAUAGCCCCAAGGCAGCUAGGAGCCGUUGAGAACAAAUCUGGAAGGCCAUCCUUGCCUUCUGUCGUCGGGCGCACCGGAUAGUCCGGUGCACACCGGACAGUGUCCGGUGCCCGAUUUCCUUCCUUAAAUGGCGAAGCCGACCGUUGGCAGACUUGGAGCCGUUGGCGCACCGGACAUGUCCGGUGCACACCGGACAGUCCGGUGCCCCCUUCUAGCCGUUGGCUCGGCCACGUGUCCCGUGCAGAUCGCGCGGCCGACCGUUGGCCCGGCCGACCGUUGGCUCACCGGACAGUCCGGUGCACACCGGACAGUCCGGUGAAUUAUAGCCGUACGUCGCCGGUGAAAUUCCCGAGAGCGGCUAGUUCGCUCGAGACAGCCUGGCGCACCGGACACUGUCCGGUGCACCACCGGACAGUCCGGUGCUCCAGACCGAACAGCCUUUUGGCUGUACACAGCCAACUUUUCUCUGACUCGAUUUCUCCUGUUUCAAGCACUUAGACACAGUACAUUAGUCUUCAAAACAAUGUACUAAGGCUUUAGAAACAUACCUUUACUCUUGAUUUGCACUUUGUCCAUCCAUGAGCAUAAAUUCACAUUUAAGCACUUGUGUUGGCACUCAAUCACCAAAAUACUUAGAAAUGACCCAAGGGCACAUUUCCCUUUCAAUAGGACGCACUGCCUGCCACCACACUGACGGACGACGUGCCCUCUCAGCAUUUAAUGCGUCCUGUCCAAUUCGCUGGCAGACAGCGUUAGGGUCAUCCAGCAGACGGCGCGCCUAUCCAGUCUGUUGACGAACAGUGCGCCUGUUCCGUGCGGCGUACUGUGCUCACCACCCCUUCUACAAGAAGCUUCCCCUGCACGCCGAGGAUACACAGAUCUCGGAUGUCAGGGCACAAGAAGAUUGCCCCAGCAGCGAACAUUUGUAGCUCCAAACGCUAUAUUCAUUAUGUCUCUGGGCCCACAUAUCGGGGUUCAGUACCUUUGUGCAUGCCCCCUUCAGCUAUAAAAGGGGAGGCAUGCGGCGUUACAAGACAGAUCCAAUCUUAGGCUCACUCAGACACUCACAAGUUCAUACAAGCUCUCAAGCAAUACAUCACACAGUGGAGUAGGGUGUUACGCUCCGGCGGCCUGAACCACUCUAAAUCCUUGUGUGUUCUUGUGUUGUUCCCAUUUUCCGACUAACAAGCAAAACGCCUAGGCCCCUCCUCAUCUUAGGAUUUAGGACAGGUGCACUUCGCCACCCGGCCGGAGAUUUCCUCUCCGACAUUUGGCGCACCAGGUAGGGGGCUAGGCAUUAGAUUUUUGCUUGUUUCCUUGCUCAAGCAUGAUGGUGCAAAUCGUUGAGCACCGUGCCGAGACUUCGGUAGAUUUCGCGGUGGAAGGAGAAGCUGCUUCUUCCAUGCCACAAGUUCCUGUAACACCCACUUUGUAAGAAAAUUCUAAAAGAGAAAUUAUAUCACUCUACAUCUAUAUGUACUACCACUGUUUAUCAUUUUUCAUGUGGACACAUUACUUACACACAAAAAAAUAAUAAUAACAAAAGACACUCAAUUAAAUCAUGCAUCAUGCUGGAUUUUGUUUUGUUUGCAUUUUGUGACAACAUAUAAUAAUGUGAAAAAUGUUAAAUAUCCAAAUGGGAAAUUAAAUCCUAAAAGAAAUUCUAAAAUUUGGAAAGAAAGAAAGAAAAAUACUAUGCAAUACAAAAAUAAAACUUAUAAAUAGAUAAAUUUAUUCCACAAUGAUUUAUCCAAAUCAUAUACUCAGAAAAUUUGAGUACAAGUUCAUCACAAAUUUGAAAUUCAAACUUAGAUUCAAAAAUAAGAGAAAAGAGAAAGGAAAAUGAAAAUAUAAAAGAAAAAGGGUGCUGUGCUCGAUUGGGCCUAAACCAACCAAUUCGGCCCAAUACCAAAUUUCACCCUGCGCAGCCCAGCUUCUAUUCUUUGCGCCGACUGAUGGGGCCCACUGGCCAGUCACAAGCCCCUCGCGCGCACACCGGUUCGGAUCGCUGCUGGCGGGACCGCCCAGUCAGCCUCCCACGCGCGCGUUGCCUUCUUUGCGCUUGCGCCGCGGUGCCGUGGGUCCAGGCUGUCAGACACUCAACCAAUUCGCCCGGUAAUGGCGGAAUCGCCCCACGGACUCGGAGCUCCGUUGCCUGAGGCUGGCGACCCCAGCAUCGUGACCCGUGCUGCAUAAAGCCCUAAGCCGGCCACAACCUCCCUCUCCUCCCUUCCUCAAUUUCGCAAGCGCCUCCACCAACAGAGAGUUUCGCGAGCAGGGCUUUUUGAGCGGGUCGUUCGUGAUUGCCGUCGCCGUCGCGGGCGAUUCUCGGCCACGACCCCGGUGCCGAACCGGAUCCGUGUCGGGAGUCUACACCGAGUGGGCACGUAACCCUCCGUGGUGCCUGCGUGCCGAAUCGUCGACCGCGCGCCCCGUAGGAGUUCGCCGGAGAGGGCGGAAUACCGUCAAGCUGCCUCGCAUCGUGGUCAGCUCGCUCGUGCGCCCGAUUCUCGGUAUGGCGCCCCCUAUCCAAUUCACGAGUAGGUGGAUUUCAUUUUGCGCGAUUCCUCGGGGUGAUCUGCUCGUCGGGCUUGCGGUUAGCGCGACGCCGGUGAGGGAUCCGCCGCUGCCUUAGGUGCGCCGUCGUGCCUGUUGGCAGUGUGGGAAGAUGAUGCCGCGACCGCUGGAUCAGUAGCUGGCGGCUGGGAUUUGAUCUGGGUCAGAGAGACUAUGGACCGUAGAUCUGUCGGUGGGCGGCGUGGAUUAGACGGGCGAUACCUCUUGGCAACAUUGAAAUCUAUCCGUAGAUCCGUUGAUGGACGCUUGGGAUCUGGUGUAGGCGUGGCCAUCUCGGGAAGCCUCGGAUCGUGAUCCGGUGGCUGUGAUUCAGUACCGUUUCAAGGGGGGAGCGGUUUUAAUCUGAGUCGUUGAUGUCUAAUCGGACGGCUCCGGGCGGGAGAUACCCUUUCGCCUUGGCAUAUUUACUAAAGAGACCCUAGGCUUCUGAGAAAAUAACCCGCAGUCCUGUCUGCAGGACUCUGUGUCUUGGGACCUUUUUGCGCCGGGCCCCCUGUCUUUCUCCGAAAUAGUGGGCCCAGUCCAGUGAUCAUUUAAUUUGAAUAAAUGAAAUAGAAAUGGAUUUUUAAUAUGAAGAUAAUUACUAGAACUUAAUAAAUUCAUAGAAAAUUCAUACUAACUCCAAAUUAAUCCAUUCCAGUUCCUAAAAUUUUGUAAUUUUAUUCUCUACCACUUAGUGUCUCUGUUUUAUCAUGACAACAGUAAGAAAAUUUAUCCCACACUUAAUCCUAUUUUAAACACAUAAAACCUUUGAAAAUCCAUAACUUAAAUUCUAUAACUCCAAAAAUUAUGAUUCCUGUUCCUAGAAUUUUAUUUUAAUGUGUAGAUUAUUACUGUGUAUUUUGUAUAUAUGUUUGGUGUAAUGUUAAUUUCUCUAUAUGCACUGUGCUUGUUUGUAUUGUGGCGAGUAGAAGAGCCCGUGACUGAGGAUCCUGGUGAGCAGCAGGUUGAAGUAGCUGAGCAGGAGCUCAUUGAAGGCAAGUUGUGCCCUUGACCACUUUUUACCUAAUAAUGUUCUUUAAUGUCACUUAUUCAUGCAUAGGUUAAUUUUGAUGGGACCCAAUAGGUCACCCUAGAUUGUUUAUCUCAUUACCUUGUUUACCCCUGAAUCACUUGGGUAGUUUGCUAUUACUUUACAUGGUUUUGGGAUAAUCAUUUAUAUCUAUGUUCCAAUUAUUCUUGUUAUUCUAUUUAUGUUCAUGUCAAGUUCAUUAAUGUUAAUUGGAACAUAGAGCUUAACUUGAGAACCACGUGCCACCACAAGGGUUUAAUGGGACGCCCUUGGCUGACUAAUUAGGAAAGCUAGUGGAAGACUACCUUACCCGAAAGGGGCAAGGGCAGUAGGGGAGUGGUCAGUGUAGGGAGGUCCUUGGUUGAUUUUGCUGCGAUGGCGGUCAGAUAAGAACCCUGCAUUGGAGCUUCCUAUAAACUGUAGCGGGUUUUCGGAAGCUAGUGGAACUUUGUAAAGGCCUCGUAGUGUUGCCCUGCCGCGCUUCCUAGGUAGAGGUGUAUGGGAUUCGCGACCCCUUGGCAGAUGGGUAGCAUGACUUGUGGGUAAAGGGUACAACCUCUGUAGAGUGUAAAACUGGUAUACUAGCCGAGCUCACGGUCAUGAGCAGCUCAGGACUCUCUGAUGAUUAAAUUAUGGAACUUAAAUUCAAUUUUGUCAUUUGCAUAUGCAUGGGUUUAUUAUUAAUUUUGUUCUAUUAUUUAUUAAGGUUUCGUAUUUACUUACAUCUAGUAAUUGCUAAUAAAAUUUUGACCAACAUUAAAAGCAAUGCUCAGCUUUAACCAUUCUCUUUGAUAAGCCUUACACUCCAUGAGAUCCCACCUUUGGUGAGUUCAUGUCACAUUAUUCCCCAUGACUUGUUGAGCGAUGAACGUAUGUGAGCUCACUCUUGCUAUCUUACACCCCCCCACAGGAGAAGAGCAGGUGGUUCAGGAGGAGCCACAAGGCGAGGAGUAUGAUCUGAUCUAGGUGGCGUUUCUCAGUUGACAUUGGCACCGACGAUCCUUAGUUCGUUUUAUCUUUAUUACUUUAUUUUGUAAUAAGUCUUCCGCUAUGUAAUAAAUACUCUGAUGUUUUAUGACAUUUAUCUCUAUACACUCUGUUAUUAUAUAUGUUGUCUUCUUGGCGCAUGUAUGAGAUGCACCUGGCUUUGUUCCUUAAAGCCGGGUGUGACAGAAGUGGUAUCAGAGGAAAUUUUGACUGUAGGACGAGACCUAGAUAGAAAUGGACAAAACCCUCUCCUACUUACCUUACUCUGACUCAUUCUAUACUCAUCUCAUCUUGAUCUUGUCUCACCUUCUACUGUUCUACUCUGAUCAUUCUUACCUUUUCUGCUCUAAGACAAGAUGGAUUUCACACCUUGGAAUCCUACCACUAUGAUCUUUUAAGAGAUAGGGAACCCAGGACAAAAUUUAAAACAAUUUUCUUUAAAAAUGUUGUUUGAUUGUGCUGAUGCUAAAUGCCUGAUUUGCUUCUUUGAUUGAUUGAAUUAUUAUAGAUGGACAUCUUAGCAUGUACCAACAUAAGGUAUUGAAUUAGCUUUAGUAGGUGAAAUAUUAAUCUGCUUAGCUAAUAAAUCCCCCAAAGUAACAUGAUUUGUAAAUACCUGCCUUGUCUACUAUUUUCUUACCAUAUGUAUCUAACUCAGAUGGUCAAUACCAGGAGGGGUGGUGGAAUUGAUUUGCCUCCUAACCGACACACUCGAAGGAUAUAUAGACAACCUCAGCCACAGCCUGUAGAGAUGAAUCCUCCACCAGGCGGAGUUGACCCACUGGUUGCUGCUCAGAUGGCGGUGAUGCAGCAAAUGGCGGACACUAUGGCUGAUAUGCGUGCCCAGAUGCAGCAAGAACGCCAGGAGAUGCGUCAGGAAAGAGAAGAUAUACGUCAGGAGUUGCGCCAGGAGAGAGAGGAGAUACGCUAGGAGAGAAGGGCGCAACAACAGCAGCUACAACAACAACUUCAACAAUAGCAGCAACAGCAACAAGUACCACUGCCUCCUCCACCACCACCAGUUCCACCCCGAGAUAAGCACCGGGAAUUCAUGAGUCAUAAGCCACCUACAUUUGCAAGCUCACCUGAUCCACUGGACGCGGAUGAUUGGCUGAAGUCCGUUGAGAAGAUGCUGAAUAUUGCACAAUGCACUGACCGGGAGAAGGUUUUAUAUGCUUCUGGACGUCUGACAGGUCCUGCUGCUGACUGGUGGGAUUCAUAUACUGCUGCCCACGAUGCCGCUGAUACUAUCACUUGGGCAGAGUUUAGUACACAGUUCAGGAAUUAUCAUAUACCAGCUGGAUUGAUAAAGAUUAAGAAGAAUGAAUUUCUAUCGCUGAAGCAAGGAAGCAUGACAGUCAGCGAGUACAGAGACAAAUUCAUUCAGCUGUCGAGAUAUGCUCCGGAGGAAGUUGCUGAGGAUGAAAGAAAGCAGGAGCACUUUAUUGAAGGACUUAAUGGACCCCUACAGUAUGCACUGGUUGCUCACACUUUUCCAUCAUUUUAGAGGCUGCUGGAUAAGGCUCUUGCUAUUGAACACAAGCGUGUUCAGCUGGGUGAUUUGAAGAGAAAGGCAAUAUCUCAAGGACAAGGAAGCAGCAAUGUUCGUCCUCGCUACAGUUCACCCCAGGGAACACCAACUCGACCAGGAGGACCGCGCCCAGUUCAGCAAUCACCACUGAGGACUCCACCUCCUCGACAGGCUACCCCUACUGGCACCCCGACGAAGUUUUCAGGACAGAGUCCAGGCACUACCUGUUUCAAGUGUGGGAAGACUGGUCAUUAUGCAAAUGUCUGCCCACAGAGGAUUGCUGCUACUCCAGUUCAGAACAGGCAGCAAACUCUAGGAUCUGACAAGGGAUAUUCUAUUGCCAAGGUUAAUCAAGUCAGCGUUGAUGCUACUCCGGAUGGUGGGGACCUCGUACUUGGUAUGUUUUAUGUUAAUGCAAUUCCUGCAACCAUAUUAUUCGAUUCUGGUGCUACACAUUCAUUCAUGUCUGCUAGAUAUGCCAACACAAAUGAAUUACCACUGCUAAAUAUGAGAAAACCAAUGAUAGUAAUUACACCUAAAGGGCCUGUUGAGGCGAAUCAAAUGACACGUAGAUUGACAUUGACCAUUAUGGGUAGAGAAUUUGGAGCUACUGCUAUAAUAUUAGAGUCAAGCAGUAUAGAUCUGAUCCUUGGUAUGUCAUGGCUAAGAAAGGCAAAGGCCGUUAUAGCAUGUGGUAGAGGUACCGUAGAACUCACUACCACUAAGGGAGAAAGAUUUCAAGUUAAUAUUGCAGUAACCUCCUCACCCAUGCGUGCAAUGUUCUUUAUACCUGAGGAGUUUGUUGGUGACAACAUCCGGGUGGUUAGAGAUUUUCCGGAUGUCUUUCCAGAGGAGUUACCAGGGAUGCCACCUGAUAGAGAAGUUGAGUUUGUUAUUGAUCUCUUACCUGGAACCGCCCCUAUUUCUAAACGGCCAUAUAGGAUGUCCGUAGAGGAGUUGAAGGAACUUAAGAAGCAGUUAACUGAGUUACAAGAUGCUGGGUACAUUCGUCCGAGUUCCUCACCUUGGGGAGCACCGGUCUUGUUUGUACAGAAGAAGGAUGGAUCCCAGCGGAUGUGUGUGGAUUAUAGAUCUCUUAAUGAUGUUACGGUGAAGAACAAGUAUCCGUUGCCCCGUAUUGAGGAUUUAUUUGAUCAGAUGAGAGGUGCUAGAGUAUUCUCGAAGAUUGAUCUCCGAUCCGGUUACCAUCAGAUGAGGAUUAGACCAUCGGAUAUUCCCAAGACGGCUUUCUCAACUUGAUAUGGAUUAUAUGAGUUCACUGUUAUGUCGUUUGGAUUAACCAAUGCACCAGCUUAUUUUAUGAACUUGAUGAAUAAGGUGUUUAUGGAGUAUUUGGACAGAUUCGUCGUGGUAUUCAUCGACGAUAUUCUCAUUUAUUCUCAGAGUGAUAACGAUCAUGAGGAACAUCUGAGAUUGGUGCUACAGAAGCUACGAGAUAACCAGCUAUAUGCCAAGUUUAGCAAGUGCGAGUUUUGGAUUGGCGAGGUGCCAUUUCUUGGUCAUAUUAUUUCUAAUGGAGGAAUUUCAGUGGAUCCUGCUAAGGUUAAGGAGAUAAUGGAGUGGAGAGUACCCACUACAGUUACUGAGAUUCGGAGUUUCUUGGGACUUGCUGGAUAUUAUCGGAGAUUUAUUGAAGGAUUUUCUAAGAUUGCUAAGCCUAUGACUUCACUUUUGGAGAAAGGAAGAGAAUUUAAGUGAGAUGAGAAGUGCCAAGACAGCUUUGAUCAAUUGAAGAAAAGAUUGAUGUCGCCACCAGUGUUGGUUAUGCCAGACCUACAGAAAGGAUUUGAUAUCUAUUGCGAUGCAUGUGGCCAAGGCUUAGGAUGUGUGCUCAUGCAGGAAGGACAUGUGAUUGCCUAUGCGUCUCGUCAGUUGCGGAAACAUGAAUUGAACUACCCCACUCAUGACUUGGAAUUGGCAGCCGUUGUGCAUGCGCUAAAGAUUUGGAGACACUACAUCAUGGGAACUAAGUGCCAAGUGUACACGGAUCAUAAGAGUCUGAAGUAUAUAUUCACGCAGAAGGAUCUCAACCUUAGGCAACGCCGUUGGUUGGAGCUUAUUAAGGAUUAUGAUUUGGAGAUUCACUAUCACCCGGGCAAGGCAAAUUUGGUUGCAGAUGCCUUGAGUCGCAAGGAGCAUGUUCAUUCAGCUAUUGUUGCCCAGCUACCCGAUGAGAUUGUUGAGGAUUUCAGGAGACUUAACCUGGGGAUAGUUGCUCAUACUGAAGGAGUUACUAUUGAUGUGGAACCUACUCUGGAGCAAGAAAUCCGCAAAGGUCAACUUGACGAUGCUAAAAUAAAAGAGAUUAAGGAUCUGAUUACUGAAGGUCGAGUUCCGGAAUUUACGGAAGAUGAGCAAGGCACUGUAUGGUUCAAGAACAGGAUGUGUGUUCCUGAUAUUGAAAGCCUUUGAGAGACUAUUUUAAAGGAGGCCCAUGACUCGGAUUAUUCUAUUCAUCCUGGUAGUACCAAGAUGUACCAGGAUUUGAAGCGGAAGUAUUGGUGGUAUGGAUUGAAAAGAGAUGUAGCUGCACAUGUGGCUAUGUGCAAUGUAUGUCAAAGAGUUAAGGCUGAACACCAGAGGCCAGCUGGACUAUUGCAUCCACUGAAGAUACCCGAGUGGAAGUGGGAAGAGAUUGGUAUGGAUUUCAUUACUGGAUUGCCUCGCACCCAGAAAGGAUAUGAUGCUAUAUGGGUGAUUGUGGAUAGAUUGACUAAAGUGGCUCACUUUAUUCCUGUGAAGACUACUUAUAAAGGUUCUCAGCUAGCAGAGUUAUAUAUGGCUCGGAUUGUGUGUUUACAUGGAGUACCAAAGAAGAUCGUGUCUGAUCGAGGUUCACAGUUUACCUCAAGAUUUUGGAGAAGCUUUCAUGAGAAUAUGAGUACAAAGUUGAAUUUUAGUACGGCUUAUCACCCUCAGACUGAUGGACAGACUGAAAGAACUAAUCAUGUAUUGGAAGAUAUGUUGAGAGCAUGUGCCCUUCAGCAUGGUGGAAGUUGGGAUAAGAGUUUACCUUAUGCUGAGUUCUCUUAUAAUAAUAGCUAUCAGGCCAGUCUGAAGAUGUCACCAUUUGAAGCUUUAUAUGGGAGGAAGUGCAGGACUCCUUUGUAUUGGGAUCAGACUGGAGAAAGACAGUUCUUUGGGCCUGAACUGAUUCAAGAAGCAGAAGAGCAAGUCCGUAUAAUUCGAGAGAAUUUGAGGGUGGCUCAAACCAGGCAAAAGAGCUACGUUGAUAAUAGAAGAAGACCGCUGGAAUUUGAGGGAGGAGAUUAUGUGUACCUCAAGGUGUCACCACUUCGUGGAAUGAGGAGAUUCAAAGUUAAGGGCAAAUUGUCCCCUCGCUACAUUGGACCAUUCUUGAUUUUUAGGCGAGUUGGAGAGAUGGCAUACCAACUCGAGUUACCGGAUAGUCUAUCGGAUGUGCAUAAUGUGUUCCACGUAUCUCAACUGAAGAAGUGUCUCCGUGUUCCCGAGGAACAGUUACCAAUGGAAGAGCUCAGUGUUCAGGGUGAUUUGACUUACACGGAGUACCCUAUCAAGAUUUUGGAUACUUUGACUCGUGUUACAAGGAAUAAGGUGAUAAAGAUGUGUAAAGUGCAAUGGAGUCACCACGGAGAAGAUGAAGCAACGUGGGAAAGAGAAGAAGAGCUUCACAUAGAUUUUCCCCACCUUUUCCCUCGUUCCUCCUAAAUCUCGAGGACGAGAUUAUUUUUAAGGGGGGUAGGAUUUGUAACACCCACUUUGUAAGAAAAUUCUAAAAGAGAAAUUAUAUCACUCUACAUCUAUAUGUACUACCACUGUUUAUCAUUUUUCAUGUGGACACAUUACUUACACACAAAAAAAAAUAAUAAUAACAAAAGACACUCAAUUAAAUCAUGCAUCAUGCUAGAUUUUGUUUUGUUUGCAUUUUGUGACAACAUAUAAUAAUGUGAAAAAUGUUAAAUAUCCAAAUGGGAAAUUAAAUUCUAAAAGAAAUUCUAAAAUUUGGAAAGAAAGAAAGAAAAAUACUAUGCAAUACAAAAAUAAAACUUAUAAAUAGAUAAAUUUAUUCCACAAUGAUUUAUCCAAAUCAUAUACUCAGAAAAUUUGAGUACAAGUUCAUCACAAAUUUGAAAUUCAAACUUAGAUUCAAAAAUAAGAGAAAAGAGAAAGGAAAAUGAAAAUAUAAAAGAAAAAGGGUGCUGUGCUCAAUUGGGCCUAAACCAACCAAUUCGGCCCAAUACCAAAUUUCACCCUGCGCAGCCCAGCUUCUAUUCUUUGCGCCGACUGAUGAGGCCCACUGGCCAGUCACAAGCCCCUCGCGCGCACACUGGUUCGGAUCGCUGCUGGCGGGACCGCCCAGUCAGCCUCCCACGCGCGUGUUGCCUUCUUCGCGCUUGCGCCGCGGUGCUGUGGGUCCGGGCUGUCAGACACUCAACCAAUUCGCCCGGUAAUGGCGGAAUCGCCCCACGGACUCGGAGCUCCGUAGCCUAAGGCUGGCGACCCCAGCAUCGCGACCCGUGCUGCAUAAAGCCCUAAGCCGGCCGCAACCUCCCUCUCCUCCCUUCCUCAAUUUUGCAAGCGCCGCCACCAACAGAGAGUUUCGCGAGCAGGGCUUUUUGAGCGGGUCGUUCGUGAUUGCCGUCGCCGUCGCGGGCGAUUCUCGGCCACGACCCCGGUGCCGAACCGGAUCCGUGUCGGGAGUCUACACCGAGUGGGCACGUAACCCUCCGUGGUGCCUGCGUGCCGAAUCGUCGACCGCGCGCCCCGUAGGAGUUCGCCGGAGAGGGCGGAAUACCGUCAAGCCGCCUCGCGUCGUGGUCAGCUCGCUCGUGCGCCCGAUUCUCGGUAUGGCGCCCCCUAUCCAAUUCACGAGUAGGUGGAUUUCAUUUUGCGCGAUUCCUCGGGGUGAUCUGCUCGUCGGGCUUGCGCCGCCGUGCCUGUUGGCAGUGUGGGAAGAUGAUGCCGCGACCGCUGGAUCAGUAGCUGGCGGCUGGGAUUUGAUCUGGGUCAGAGAGACUAUGGACCGUAGAUCUGUCGGUGGGCGGCGUGGAUUAGACGGGCGAUACCUCUUGGCAACCUUAAAAUCUGUCCGUAGAUCCGUUGAUGGACGCUUGGGAUCUGGUGUAGGCGUGGCCAUCUUGGGAAGCCUCGGAUCGUGAUCCGGUGGCUGUGAUUCAAUACCGUUUCAAGGGGGGGAGCGGUUUUAAUCUGAGUCGUUGAUGUCUAAUCGGACGGCUCCGGGCGGGAGAUACCCUUUCGCCUUGGCAUAUUUACUAAAGAGACCCUAGGCUUCUAAGAAAAUAACCCGCAGUCCUGUCUGCAGGACUCUGUGUCUUGGGACCUUUUUGCGCCGGGCCCCCUGUCUUUCUCCGAAAUAGUGGGCCCAGUCCAGUGAUCAUUUAAUUUGAAUAAAUGAAAUAGAAAUGGAUUUUUAAUAUGAAGAUAAUUACUAGAACUUAAUAAAUUCAUAGAAAAUUCAUACUAACUCCAAAUUAAUCCAUUCUAGUUCCUAAAAUUUUGUAAUUUUAUUCUCUACAACUUAGUGUCUCUGUUUUAUCAUGACAGCAGUAAGAAAAUUUAUCCCACACUUAAUCCUAUUUUAAACACAUAAAACCUUUGAAAAUCCAUAACUUAAAUUCUAUAACUCCAAAAAUUAUGAUUCCUGUUCCUAGAAUUUUAUUUUAAUGUGUAGAUUAUUACUGUGUAUUUUGUAUAUAUGUUUGGUGUAAUGUUAAUUUCUCUAUAUGCACUGUGCUUGUUUGUAUUGUGGCGAGUAGAAGAGCCCGUGACUGAGGAUCCUGGUGAGCAGCAGGUUGAAGUAGCUGAGCAGGAGCUCAUUGAAGGCAAGUUGUGCCCUUGACCACUUUUUACCUAAUAAUGUUCUUUAAUGUCACUUAUUCAUGCAUAGGUUAAUUUUGAUGGGACCCAAUAGGUCACCCUAGAUUGUUUAUCUCAUUACCUUGUUUACCCCUGAAUCACUUGGGUAGUUUGCUAUUGCUUUACAUGGUUUUGGGAUAAUCAUUUAUAUCUAUGUUCCAAUUAUUCUUGUUAUUCUAUUUAUGUUCAUGUCAAGUUCAUUAAUGUUAAUUGGAACAUAGAGCUUAACUUGAGAACCACGUGCCACCACAAGGGUUUAAUGGGACGCCCUUGGCUGACUAAUUAGGAAAGCUAGUGGAAGACUACCUUACCCGAAAGGGGCAAGGGCAGUAGGGGAGUGGUCAGUGUAGGGAGGUCCUUGGUUGAUUUUGCUGCGAUGGCGGUCAGACAAGAACCCUGCAUUGGAGCUUCCUAUAAACUGUAGCGGGUUUUCGGAAGCUAGUGGAACUUUGUAAAGGCCUCGUAGUGUUGCCCUGCCGCGCUUCCUAGGUAGAGGUGUAUGGGAUUCGCGACCCCUUGGCAGAUGGGUAGCAUGACUUGUGGGUAAAGGGUACAACCUCUGCAGAGUGUAAAACUGGUAUACUAGCCGAGCUCACGGUCAUGAGCAGCUCAGGACUCUCUGAUGAUUAAAUUAUGGAACUUAAAUUCAAUUUUGUCAUUUGCAUAUGCAUGGGUUUAUUAUUAAUUUUGUUCUAUUAUUUAUUAAGGUUUGGUAUUUACUUACAUCUAGUAAUUGCUAAUAAAAUUUUGACCAACAUUAAAAGCAAUGCUCAGCUUUAACCAUUCUCUUUGAUAAGCCUUGCACUCCAUGAGCUCCCACCUUUGGUGAGUUCAUGUCACAUUAUUCCCCAUGACUUGUUGAGCGAUGAACGUAUGUGAGCUCACUCUUGCUGUCUUACACCCCCCACAGGAGAAGAGCAGGUGGUUCAGGAGGAGCCACAAGGCGAGGAGUAUGAUCUGAUCUAGGUGGCGUUUCUCAGUUGACAUUGGCGCCGACGAUCCUUAGUUCGUUUUAUCUUUAUUACUUUAUUUUGUAAUAAGUCUUCCGCUAUGUAAUAAAUACUCUGAUGUUUUAUGACAUUUAUCUCUAUACACUCUGUUAUUAUAUAUGUUGUCUUCUUGGCGCAUGUAUGAGAUGCACCUGGCUUUGUUCCUUAAAGCUGGGUGUGACAGUUCCCAACCGCCCCGUGCCAGGCGCUGCUGCUGUGCACGCCGCACGGCAGCACACGACUGCACAGACGUCCCGGACUCCAUCGAGGGCGACUCCGGGAGCAUUGUCAGCAGCCAGGGAGUUGUUGCGACACCCUCCAAGCUCCACGGCCUCACUAGGGGCCAUGAAGCAAUGGCGGGACGACGUCGACCGACUACUCUGUAUGGCGCAUUCUACCUCGACCAGGUCAAGGACACGGUCAUCCCGGCGCGAAUACGAGGCAUCGGCGUCUGUGCGCUCGCCCUCAGUAAGGGGAGCUCAGACCAACGACCUCCGAGCAGAACUCGACCGCAGGCGUGCGGGAGAGGAUGCCCGAGUCUCCUUGGAAAGGGUGCGCGAGUGCCGCCAAAACAUCGGUGGUCGCAACCUCGAUCAAGACUUCGCUGCGGUUGCACCACAGACACCAAUGGGUAUCCGGUCUCAAACGGGUGUCCCCUUGGCCGGUGUGGGCUGCGUCGCUCUCGCAGAUCAUCUCCGCGCGGAGUCAUGGCCAUCCAAGUUCUGGCCGCACCUGCUGGAAAAGUACGAUGGAACAUCGUACCCGUCGAAGUUCUUGCAGGUGUACGUCACCGCCAUCACGGCAGCAGGUGGAAACACCGCUGUGAUGGCAACAUAUUUUCUUGUCGCCUUGUCUGGACCAGCCCGGACUUGGCUCAUGAACCUCGCCCCAGGGUCAGUCUACUCCUGGAAAGAGCUCUACGCGUGGUUCGUUGCGAACCUCGCCAGUGCUUACCAGCAGCACGGUGUGGAGGCCCACCUCCAUGCGGUGAGGUAGGAGCCCGGGGAGACUCUCCAGAAAUUCAUCUCCCGCUUCACCAAGGUGCGAGGUACCAUACCUCGCAUUUCUGAUGCUUCCAUCAUCACGACCUUCCGACAGGGAGUACGUGAUGAGAAAAUGCUGGAGAAGUUGGCCACACAUGACGUGGAAACUGUCCCCACACUCUUCGCUCUGGCUGAUAAGUGCGCCAGAGCCACCGAGGGCCGUGCAUGGCACUCGGCCCCACAAACCGGAGCUGCCCAGUCGGGUGGCACGGGUGCCGUCCCCCGGGACGGAAAGAAGAAAAAGAAGAAGGACCGCGAAUACCAGAAGUCGCGGUCCACCGCUCUGGUUGUCGCAGCCACGACCGGAGGCCUGGGCGACCGCAACAAACAUCCACGACCGCAGAAGGGUAACAGCAGCUCAUGCCCUGUACACCCCAACAGUCGCCACAGCUCUAUGGAGUGUCGCGAGAUCAUUGACCUCGCGAAGCGUGUUAGUGAGCGGCGCGAGCAGUCUUCCAAAGACGGCUCCCCACCUCGUCGCUGACCUGGCAAAGAAAAGGUGGACGACGGCGAGGUGGCCACGACUGAACGGGACCUCGGGUAUCAGUCACCCGAAGGGGACCUGAAGGAUGUCUUCGCUGGAGGCUCCUACUCUGGUGGAGACAACUAGACGGACCCCAGAGGGACCCCGUGUUCCCCGGUCUAUGGAGCUGAAGCUUGCCUUCCUCCGAAAACCCUUCCGGACUCCCCAUAGGUCCAGGCUUCUGACAGGUACAUACAGGAACGACCACAACCAAAGGCGAGGGCUCCCAUGUCAAAUGCAGAUGGGGACCCAGGGUCGGGACUUAGCCCUACGACAAGUACCAAACCAAGAAGGGCUCCGCAACUCUCCCCCAGCUGGGAAGGACCCUUCAAGGUAAUGGGAAUGCACCGACCCGAGGGCAACCAUCUAGCUACGACUAAAGGAGUCCCUCACCCUGAUGCUGAAACAUCUCUGUAAGUUCUAUCCAUAGAGCAAGUCUGAGGAGUCGAUUUAGUUUCCCUUUUGUAACCAGGUAGCACAUACGUGUACGCCAACCUAGUGGGGUCCGUCCCCAUAAACCCAGCCUGUUGGUCUGCACCCACGCAUGAUGAGUUAUAAAGAAAACUACCCCCUCGGUUGAGCCCCUAUGAUAGUUCCAUCUCGCUGCUCCAUGGUCUUACCUUGCAGUUUUUUAGAUAAUACUUUUUAUCUAACCCACCCGUACGGUUCCCAUAUGUACUGACAUGACAACAUCCAAAUUGAGCAGCCAGGCUUGCAGUUUAGGGCCCCCGAUACGAAAGUUGGGAGGUCCGACAGCCUGGGAGCCGGCUCCAGAGAACGAAACCCCAUUCCAUGGGAUGGUCCGGAGCAUGUGUGGCCGCUUAGCCUGGUCCCGUACCCGAAAGCCUGCACACUCCACCACUCCGUGACGGGUACCUAGUAUUUAGGGCUAUAAGUCCUGUGGGUCCGACAACCUCGGGACCGGAACUAGAGAAUGAACAUUAGUCUUUUGGGGUGGUCCGGAGCCCGUGUAGCCGCUCAGCCUGGUCCCGUACCAUGGGCCUGCACGCUCCACCGCCCUGCGACAAGUGUCCUAGUAUCUAGAGUCGCGAGCCAAGGGGGUCCGGACACGCAACUUGGCCACCCGGGCUGAAACCUGUGAGUCUCGAACAUGUAUCAAAGGAUGGCUAAUGUCAGAUAGGGGACCCUAUGGGUGUACUACUAACGCUCCUUAGCUGAAGCUGUGAACAGAUCCAGACCUCGGUGAGGCUGCUUCCCGAGAACUAUUGACAACCUUUUCAGAUACGCUGGUAUCCAACCUCAACAAAUCAAGCCUGCAUCCCAGGCGGUGGGGGGGGCAGGUACCAGGGAGGAGUCAACAAUAUCGCACACAACAAAAAAAAGUUGAAAAUAGAUAAGUGCUAAUACUGCUUAACAAAUAGUACUCUUGAGUACCUUACAAAAAGCGAAAGUAUUACAUCUGUUUUUCAAGUGGAGCCCUAGUUCCAUCUCUACUCUGCAGGUAUGAACUACCUCCACACCAGUAGGGCCGCGGGAUAGCUAGCUCCGAGCGGCUCGCCAGCGGAGGCGACCACCUCUGCACCGACGACUCGCCAGCAAUGGCGAUCACCUCAGCACAUGCGCCAUUACGAAAAGGUCCUCGCCCCCGUCUUCCUACGGGGGGGCAACAAUGAGGCCAUUAAAGCUAAAGAGUCGGAAGGCUCGGUGGCAGGUGGCGCUGAUGGUCUCGCCAGCGGAGGCAACCACCUCUGCAACGGGCAGCCUCACCAGCGGCGGCGACCACCUCAGCACCAACGACAGCGGCCACCUCUGCACCGGUGGGCGGCGACUGCCUCAGCACACACGAAGAGGUCCUCGCUCCUGUCCUCACUGCGGGAGUGAGGACAAGACCAUCCAAGAACACGGCCGCCGCCCUUGCGGCGUACGACGUCUUGUACGGCCCCCCGGUGCGGCCGUCGGCACAGGAGAAGCCGUGGAUGUGGCGGACCUACGCACGGCGCGACCGUCGCCCGUGCGGUGGACAGGCAGCCACGCCCCAACCAAACGACAGGAGGCAGCAUCGGAGGCGGCACCAAGGCCAUCCAAGCCGGGGAACCGGGCACGCGGCGGACGGUGGCGCCUGCAGUCGGCCGGCCUCGCGUACCCGAAGUUCACCUCCUCUGCAAGGCUGGUGAACGCCCUUCUCCCCCAAAUAUUGGAGGAAGAAGCGGGCCGCCAUCCCAUGCGGAAGGCGGGACCCCAACUCGUCUCGCCCUCCUCCCCAGCGCGGAUGAUGAACAUCCUUGAAGCUGAGGGUAGGGGGAGGCCACAGCCCAGCUCUCUUCUCUCCACCACAAGGCUGUUGGUCAUCCCUCUAGAUGACCACUGGCGGGAGAUUGCAGCCGGGCUGCAUGAUGAAAAUCCUUGAAGCCGAGCGAUGGAGGAAGAGCGCCAACCCCUAUAGGGUUGCGCUCCUCUAACAGCAGCAAGAAGAAGACAAGAUCGACAGCACCACCACGAGCGCGAGCUCUCCGGUGGUGAGAUCGCCGGAGGGGGCGGCCCUGACACGGAUCCCUCCAGAGAACACCGGCGCACCCCAUCUGGAGGCCCGGAAGGCAGAAGGGCGCGAUGAAUGCAAGAGGAGCAAGGCAUGGCUACUGGCCGGGAGAUCGAUCCCUUUUUAAAGGCAGAUCUUCCCACUCGCGCCCCGAAGCGUCACGGGCAAGGUCUCCCCCUAUGUGCACCAGGGUUCCCACCCUAUGACACGGGGGCCAAGCCCCACAUGUCAUACUGACUGACCCAAAUAACGAAGAAGGCGAACCACCACACAAGGAGCAUACAACUGCCCCGCGGUUAUGCGCCCCUUCAUUUUCGGAGCAACCAGUGGUCAGGAAGGCGAACCGCUGCACAAGGAGCAUGCACCCGCCCCACGGUCACGCGCCCCUUCGUUUUCGCCGAAACCAGCAGUCAGGAAGGCGAACCGCAACGAAGGAAGCGUACAACCUCCCCGUAGUUGUGCGCCCCCUCAGCUUCGCUGCAACUGGCGGUCCGACAUGGGGGCCCAGGUCCAGAUGUCAUGCAGCCGGCGCGCCAGUUACCGGGUGCGGAAAAAUCGCACCGCCACUCUCGCCAAUGCCACGUCUUCUCGGGGCCGACGCGGAAGACUGAAAAGAUAAGUUUCCAAAACUAGUGCAGCGACUCGAGGCAUCCCGUGCGUGGCCCAACAGUGGCUUUAAGUACGAAGGUCGCGGGCCAUUCAGUCGUGGGAAUAGGUGUAGCAGUCGACAUGACCAUAGGCGGGCCGACAGUAAUUGCGUCAACAGGCGCGCAGGAGCAGCAGGCCAACCGCUAAUCAGACUAUGGCCCCACCUGCAGGCUCGCAUCUUCCCCUGAGGCGGGCCUAGGGGCCACUGUCGGUACCCUGAAUCAGGGGUACCCUCUUCUACAGCAUGAAGACGAUGUACACGUACGACGCCUCUAGACCACACGGAGAACGGCACCCGACCCCACCACAUGGGCAGGUCUAAGGGCACCAUGUGGCAAGGAAAGAUAAUACAUCCCAGGAUGCAUCAUUGGGUCCGGGCCUCCAUAAAGGGACACCGGACCCCUGUACGUACAAGUCCGGAGCUCCCAAGAAGGCAUGUCAGGUCCCUCGGGUAGGCCUCGGGUCCCUCCGAGUAAGGUCCGGGCCUUGGCAAGGUCCCGGGAUGGGGAGGACCUCGACAUGAGUAAGGGUCCGGUUCUGGCACGUGUCCAGGCCUUGCCCUACGUUCCCCACUCAGGUCGAGACCCGCUGCUACCGCGUGGCUUGUGGCCCAUGACAUAAGCCAACGGGCCGAGCCUGACGAAAAGCCCCUAAAGCCGCACAACCUCUGCAUUUAUUGCGGAGAGGACACGCCGCCUGCCACCAUGCUGACGGAUGACAUGCCCUCUCAGCAUUUAAUGUGUCCUGUCCAAUCCGCUAGUAGACGGCGUCAGGGUCAUCCAGCAGACGAUGCGCCUGUCCAGUCUGUUGACGAACAGUGCGCCCAUGCCGUGCGGCGUACUGUGCUCACCUGUCACACCCGGAUUUUAGGGGUCCAAAACCCGGGCGCGAACAUAAUCACCAGGUGUGCUGGGACCAAGUCUCACACAUAUGAUGAAUCAUGGCACAGGAUCAAAUGUCACAUCUUUACUAUAUAAUAGGAGUUCUAUACAAAAUAAAUAAAUAAUUACAUUAUAAGGAGACAACGGUCCAGCAACCCAAAGUUGACUGGGAGACGACGACCUAGACCUCCCACGAAGACAUCGCAGCAUCCUCCAUGCGCCUCAUCCUGCGGUACCUGUUCUUGACCUGUGGGGGGGGGUGUGAGACAGCAAGAGUGAGCUCACAUACGUUCAUCGCUCAACAAGUUGUGGGGAAUAAUGUGCAUGAACUCACCAAAGGUGGGAGCUCACGUGAAGUGUAAGGCUUACCAAAGAGGAUGGUUAGAGCUGAGCAUUGCUUUUAAAGUUGGUCAAAAUUUUAUUGGCAAUUACUAAGUAUAAGUAAAUACCAACCCAAUUAAGUAGUAGAACAAAAGUAACAACAUCACCUGCGAUGCAAUGCAUAUGACAAAUUGAAUUUAGUUCCAUAAAUUAAUCAUCAGAGAGUCCUGAGCUGCUCAUGACCGUGAGCUCGGCUAGUAUACCAGUUUUACACUCUGCAGAGGUUGUACCCUUUACCCACAAGUCAUGUUACCCAUCUGCCAAGGGAUCGCGACUUCCCAUACACCUCUACCGAGGAGGCGAGGCAGGGUAACACUACGAGGCCUUUACAAAGUUCCACUAGCUUCAGAAAACCCGCUACAGUUUAUAGGAAGCUCCAAUGUAGGGUUCUUGCCUGACCGCCAUCGCAGCAAAAUCAACCAAGGACCUCCCUACACUGACCACUCCCCUACUGCCAUUGCCCCUUUCGGGUAAGGUAGUCCUCCACUAGCUUUCCUAAUUAAUCAGCCAAGGGCGUCCAUAAACCCUUGUGGUGGCACGUGUUUCUCAAGUUAAGCUCUAUGUUCCAAUUAACAUUAAUGAUCUUGACAUGAACAUAAAUAGAAUAACAAAAUAACUGGAACAUAGAUAUGAUAAAUAAUUAUCCCAAAUCCAUGUAAAGCAAUAGCAAACUACCCAAGUGAUUCAGGGGUAAACAAGGUAAUGAGAUAAACAAUCUAGGGUAACCUAUUGGGUCCCAUCAAAAUUAACCUAUGCAUGAAUAAAUGAUAUUAAAGAACAUUAAUGGGUAAAAAGUGGUCAAGGGCACAACUUGCCUGACACUUGAGAUCAGGUACCAACUUGCUCUUCAGAUGACACGUGUCCUCACUGCUAAACGUAGCAAUACAGACAAACACGGUAUAGGCAAAAUGAACAUCACACCAAACAUAAGAUCAAACUGCAUAAUAAUAUUCUACGCUGCUUAACAAGAUUGUAGGAACAAGAAACAAUAAAUUCGGAGCUACGGUUGUUAAAUUAUGAAUUUCUGAAAUUAUUAAGCACUUAGAAUGGAUUAAUUCAAAUGAACAAUUUUAAUGUAAGUUUCAUGGUUAUACAGUGUUACUAGGUGGUAGACAAUAUUAAAACAAAAUUAUAGAAACUGGAAUGGAUCAAUUCAGAGUUAGAAUGAAUCAAAUAUGGAUUAAACAAGUUUAUGGAUUUAUUUUUAAACUAAAAAUCCUCUUUCUGAAUUGUUUUAUCCCAUUUAUUCUCUGAUUGGACUGGGGACACUAUUUUGCGAGAGACUAGGGGUUGACGUAUAAAAUCCCAUAGACUUAGUCCAACCCCGCAGUGGACCGCUGGUUGAUUUAUAUUAACGCGAGGGACUCUUUUGAGAAGUUGCCACGCGAAGGGGUAUGCAAGGAUCACGGCCGUUGGAUCGGCCAUAAAUGGCUCGGAUUAAAUUUGUCUUUAAUCCAAAACGGUAUUCAAUCAUCACCGUUAGAUUUGCUAUCGACCGUCCAGAUCUAAAAUAACUGAGCCAAAUCCACCGCGUACACUACCCGAUCUACGGCGGAGGUGAGCCCAAACUGAAAGGAUAUGCGUGCACAGAUCUGGGCUGUCCAUCACAGAUCGGACGGCCACGAGCUUCUCUCCCUUACCUCACUCACGGUCGGCCAAUCCCAGGUAGCGGCGGCGUUCUGCCCACAAACCGCGGCGGCGGCCAUGGCCGGCACAAGCCCGAGCAACGUCCGCGCACGAGACUUGAAUUGAACUGGUGCAUCAAAGUAAGGAGGGCAACGGGAACUUCAUCGACGAUUUCUUACCCAGGGCAGACAUGGGAAUAUCCUAGCCACGGCGGGGACGGAUACUGCCCAUCCAACGAUCAAUCCACUGGUGAUGAGGUCGACAUUGCCCAUAUCGAUGCCGGUGAUGGACUCCAUACCUCCUGGCGAUUACCCGCGGCGAGGUCGAGUACACCGAACGUCGGCGGGGGCAAAGAACCAUUGCGGCUACACCUUUUUUUCCUCUCUCUCCCUUCUCGGUUCGCUCUCCCGCGGACAUGGUGGCGCUGCUGCGAGGCGAAAGGACCUGCGGCACAAGGUAGAGGGCGAGAGGGGGGGUCGGUCCUCUUAAUACCCUACAGCGAGGGGAUUCCGGCCUGGUGGUUGGAACGGCCAGCGGGAUCCACCCGAUCCCGGCGGCGGACAUCGCGGCGUACAGAGUCCGAGCGCGGGAUCUGUGAGGUUGAGGAUUGUGCUGACAACUGGGGCCCACCCAACAGAGACACGAAGUGUGAAAUGCGGGCGUAGAGUGCGGAUGGAUGGCCGACCGAGCGGCUGAGGAUGCGGGUCCACAUGUCGGCGCAGUGGGGAGGAUUGGCUGGGCUGGCAACGCGAGUGAGAUGGGCCGAGGAGGGUAGAUUCGGCCCACGAGGCUGAUCGGUUUGAUCUUUUCUGUUUUUUUAUUUCAGAGUUCCUUCUCCAAAUUUAAUUCAAAUUCAAAAUUCCUAUUUCAAAUCUCCCAAGUGUCAGAAUUAAUACUAAUAUAAAUAAGAACUCUACUAUUUUCAACAUUAUUAUUUAUUAUUUUCCUUAUUAUUUAUUUAUGGGAGGGAUAAAUGGUUGCAUUAAAAUUCCCUCACUCAUUUUCUUAAUUCCUUUUCUAUUUUUUUAAACUUAAACUUGUCUCAUACAUUUUGAUGCAACAUAUAAGAAAACUUUAGUAUGAUAUGCCUAUUUCUAUAUUUAUUUAUUUGUUAUUUGUACUGCUUUAUUUCUCUUAUGUGAGUAUGCACAAAGAAAAGAAAAAAACACAUAAUUCCCAAAACACUUUUAUGUAAAUCCAUGUAUUUAUUAUUAUUAUUAUUUUACCUUAUACUAAUUUUAGGGCUUUACAAAUCCUACCCCCUUAACAGAAAUCUCGUCCUCGAGAUUUGUAAGAAAAGGGUUACAAUAGGUUUGGUCUAGAAUUUUAGUUUCUCAUUUGGUUUUGGGAAUCAAAGUUUUGUUCAAGUUUUUUUUACAUAACAGUUAGUAGAUGAUUUGGAAAAUAUGAGUAUUGUAUGUCUAGCCAUUUAUUAGGUCAGAUGAGGUACGAUUAUGGCCAGUGGAGGUUGUGGUAAGGGUAUGAUAAGGAGAGACUUCAUCCUGAACUCUGGAUCUUGAUUCCUCUGGCGAUCCAACUUGAUCUUUGAAGACUUGAGUUGAUGCUUAUCCUCCUUUGAUGUGGUUGGUCUUCUUUGGCCUUUAUUCUUGUUGUCAUCCGAGUUAAGGACAUAUGGCUAAGGAUAUAUAAUUAGGAUAGCCGGGGUACACGAGGUAGGUAGGUUUGAACAAAGUUUUACUUUGCUUUUGUGAUAUCUGGAUUAGACAACCUAUGAUGUAGGUUAGGUUGUUGUUUACGGACGAGUUAGUCCAAGGUAUUAAUUUAGGGCAAGAUGAAUCCAUAAGGAUAAGGUAGAAUCUUUUGAGGUCAGUUAGAUUUAUUAGGGUGACAUAAGAUCUUUUCAAGAUAAAAUGAGUCUACUGAGGUAAUAGAGUAUAUUUUAAGAUAAGAUGGAUCUAUUAAGCUAGAUAUAUUUUAAUUAGGAUAAGUUAGGAUCUUUUGAGAUAAGAUGGAUCUAUGAGUGUAGGAUAGAAUCUUUUAAGAUGAGAUGGAUAUUGUUAGGUUAGAUACUUUAAUGAGGGCUAAUCUAGUUUGUCUAGUUAUUUUAUAAGCAUUUUUUUCCUAUAUGUAUAUGCAGAUGUAAUUGUGGACAUUACUCCACAACUAAUCACACUCAAUCAAAGAUCCAAAUCAGACAAGUAUCAUAAGAACAAACAUUCAAGCACAUAGAUAUGUAUAAAAAUAUUUUUGUUUUGUUCCUAAGAUUAGGUCUCAUAUUCCUAAAGGUCACUUUAGGCACAUGAUUUCAAAAUGUGAAAUCCACAUUUGUCGUUAGAAUGAAAAGGUAAGAAUAAUCAGAGUAAAGCGGAAAUAGAUGAGAAAAGAUUAAGAAGAGUUUAGAAAGGAUCAGAGUGGCAAAGGUAAGUAGAUAAUGGUUGUCCAGUUCUAUCUAGGUUUCGUCCUACAGUCAACAUUCCUCUGAUACCACUUCUGUCACACCCAGAUUUUAGGGGUCCAAAACCCGGGCGCGAACAUAAUCACCAGGUGUGCUGGGACCAAGUCUCACACAUAUGAUGAAUCAUGGCACAGGAUCGAAUGUCACAUCUUUACUAUAUAAUAGGAGUUCUAUACAAAAUAAAUAAAUAAUUACAUUAUAAGGAGACAACGGUCCAGCAACCCAAAGUUGACUGGGAGACGACGACCUAGACCUCUCACGAAGACAUCAUAGCAUCCUCCAUGCGCCUCAUCCUGCGGUACCUGUUCUUGACCUGUGUGGGGGGGGUGUGAGACAGCAAGAGUGAGCUCACAUACGUUCAUCGCUCAACAAGUUGUGGGGAAUAAUGUGCAUGAACUCACCAAAGGUGGGAGCUCACGUGAAGUGUAAGGCUUACCAAAGAGGAUGGUUAGAGCUGAGCAUUGCUUUUAAAGUUGGUCAAAAUUUUAUUAGCAAUUACUAAGUAUAAGUAAAUACCAACCCAAUUAAGCAGUAGAACAAAAGUAACAACAUCACCUGCGAUGCAAUGCAUAUGACAAAUUGAAUUUAGUUCCAUAAAUUAAUCAUCAGAGAGUCCUGAGCUGCUCAUGAUCGUGAGCUCGGCUAAUAUACCAGUUUUACACUCUGCAGAGGUUGUACCCUUUACCCACAAGUCAUGUUACCCAUCUACCAAGGGAUCGCGACUUCCCAUACACCUCUACCGAGGAGGCGAGGCAGGGUAACACUACGAGGCCUUUACAAAGUUCCACUAGCUUCAGAAAACCCGCUACAGUUUAUAGGAAGCUCCAAUGCAGGGUUCUUGCCUGACCGCCAUCGCAGCAAAAUCAACCAAGGACCUCGCUACACUGAACACUCCCCUACUGCCCUUGCCCCUUUCGGGUAAGGUAGUCCUCCACUAGCUUUCCUAAUUAAUCAGCCAAGGGCGUCCAUAAACCCUUGUGGUGGCACGUGUUUCUCAAGUUAAGCUCUAUGUUCCAAUUAACAUUAAUGAUCUUGACAUGAACAUAAAUAGAAUAACAAAAUAACUGGAACAUAGAUAUGAUAAAUAAUUAUCCCAAAUCCAUGUAAAGCAAUAGCAAACUACCCAAGUGAUUCAGGGGUAAACAAGGUAAUGAGAUAAACAAUCUAGGGUAACCUAUUGGGUCCCAUCAAAAUUAACCUAUGCAUAAAUAAAUGAUAUUAAAGAACAUUAUUGGGUAAAAAGUGGUCAAGGGCACAACUUGCCUGGCACUUGAGAUCAGGUACCAACUUGCUCUUCAGAUGACACGUGUCCUCACUGCUAAACGUAGCAAUACAGACAAACACGGUAUAGGCAAAAUGAACAUCACACCAAACAUAAGAUCAAACUGCAUAAUAAUAUUCUACGCUGCUUAACAAGAUUGUAGGAACAAGAAACACUAAAUUCGGAGCUACGGUUGUUAAAUUAUGAAUUUCUGAAAUUAUUAAGCACUUAGAAUGGAUUAAUUCAAAUGAACAAUUUUAAUGUAAGUUUCAUGGUUAUACAGUGUUACUAGGUGGUAGACAAUAUUAAAACAAAAUUAUAGAAACUGGAAUGGAUCAAUUCAGAGUUAGAAUGAAUCAAAUAUGGAUUAAACAAGUUUAUGGAUUUAUAUUAAACUAAAAAUCCUCUUUCUAAAUUGUUUUAUCCCAUUUAUUCUCUGAUUGGACUGGGGACACUAUUUUGCGAGAGACUAGGGGUUGACGUAUAAAAUCCCAUAGACUCAGUCCAACCCCGCAGUGGACCACGGGUUGAUUUAUAUUAACGCGAGGAACUCUUUGGAGAAGUUGCCACGCGAAGGGGUAUGCAAGGAUCACGGCCGUUGGAUCGGCCAUAAAUGGCUCGGAUUAAAUUUGUCUUUAAUCCGAAACGGUAUUCAAUCAUCACCGUUAGAUUCGCUAUCGACCGCCCAGAUCUAAAAUACCUGAGCCAAAUCCACCGCGUACACUACCCGAUCUACGGCGGAGGUGAGCCCAAACUGAAAGGAUAUGCGUUCACAGAUCUGGGCUGUCCAUCAUAGAUCGGACGACCACGAGCUUCUCUCCCUUACCUCACUCACAUCCGGCCAAUCCCAGGUAGCGGCGGCGUUCUGCCCACAGACCGCGACGGCGGCCAUGGUCGGCACAAGCCCGAGCAACGUCCGCGCACGAGACUUGAAUUGAACUGGUGCAUCACAGUAAGGAGGGCAACGGGAACUUCAUCAACGAUUUCUUACCUAGGGCAGACAUGGGAAUAUCCUAGCCACGGCGGGGACGGAUACUGCCUAUCCAACGAUCAAUCCACUGGUGAUGAGGUCGACAUUGCCCAUAUCGAUGCCGGUGAUGGACUCCAUACCUCCUGGCGAUUACCCGCGGCGAGGUCGAGUACACCGAACGUCGACGGGGGCAAAGAACCAUUGCAGCUACACCUUUUUUCCCUCUCUCUCCCUUCUCGGUUCGCUCUCCCGUGGACAUGGUGGCGCUGCUGCGAGGCGAAAGGACCUGCGGCACAAGGUAGAGGGCGAGAGGGGGGGGGGGGUCGGUCCUCUUAAUACCCUACAGCGAGGGGAUUCCGGCCUGGUGGUUGAACGGCCAGCGGGAUCCGCCCGAUCCCGACGGCGGACAUCGCGGCGUACAGAGUCCGAGCGCGGCAUCCGUGAGGUUGAGGAUUGUGCUGACAACUGGGGCCCACCCAAAAGAGACACGAAGUGUGAAAUGCGGGCGUAGAGUGCGGAUGGAUGGCCGGCCGAGCGGCUGAGGAUGCGGGUCCACAUGUCGGCGCAGUGGGGAGGAUUGGCUGGGCUGGCAACGCGAGUGAGAUGGGCCGAGGAGGGUAGAUUUGGCCCACGAGGCUGAUAGGUUUGAUCUUUUCUGUUUUUUUUCAGAGUUCCUUCUCCAAAUUUAAUUCAAAUUCAAAAUUCUUAUUUCAAAUCUCCCAAGUGUCAGAAUUAUUACUAAUAUAAAUAAGAACUCUACUAUUUUCAACAUUAUUAUUUAUUAUUUUCCUUAUUAUUUAUUUAUGGGAGGAAUAAAUGGUUGCAUUAAAAUUCCCUCACUCAUUUUCUUAAUUCCUUUUCUAUUUUUUUAAUCCUAUUUUAUUUUUAAACUUAAACUUGUCUCAUACAUUUUGAUGCAACAUAUAAGAAAACUUUAGUAUGAUAUGCCUAUUUCUAUAUUUAUUUAUUUGUUAUUUGUACUGCUUUAUUUCUCUUAAGUGAGUAUGCACAAAGAAAAGAAAAAAACACAUAAUUCCCAAAACACUUUUAUGUAAAUCCAUGUAUUUAUUAUUAUUAUUAUUUUACCUUAUACUAAUUUUAGGGCUUUACAUCACCACCCCUUCUACAAGAAGUUUCCCCUGCACGCCGAGGAUACGCAGAUCUCGGAUGUCAGGGCACAAGAAGAUUGCCCCAGCAGCGAACAUUUGUAGCUCCAAGCGCUAUAUUCAUUAUGUCUCUGGGCCCACAUAUCGGGGUUCAGUACCUUUGUGCAUGCCCCCUUCAGCUAUAAAAGGGGAGGCAUGCGGCGUUACAAGACAGAUCCAAUCUUAGGCUCACUCAGACACUCACAAGUUCAUACAAGCACUCAAGCAAUACAUCACACAGUGGAGUAGGGUGUUACGCUCUGACGGCCCGAACCACUCUAAAUCCUUGUGUGUUCUUAUGUUGUUCCCAUUUUCUGACUAACAAGCAAAACGCCUAGGCCCCUCCUCAUCUUAGGAUUUAGGACGGGUGCACUCCGCCACCCGGCCGGAGAUUUCCUCUCCGACAGUUAUAAAAUCACAACUUUUACAUAUAACCGGAUGAAUAUAAAGUUUAUAUAAAAAUUGUAGAGCUUGAAGAGAUCUAUAACUUUAUAGUACAUCAUAUUUUUGUUGAACAUAUCUUAAGGUCGAAAUCAUUGAAAUAAUAUCCAAAUUUAUAUCAAAUUAAUAGACUUUAUCAUUUUCAUAUGGGGACUUAAGGUUAUCUUCAUGUGGGGACUAAAAGUUAUCUUCUUAUAGACUAUUUAUUAGUCUUAGUAACUUAUUUGCCAUUUUUGGUGAUUUUCUAUAGAAAGAAAUUAAUAUUACACAAAUAGCCUAAAUAAUUCAUGAAAUUUUGUGGAGGCCUAACAUAUGUUCAUAAAUGAUCAUAAAAAAUAUUUGGAUCAUAAAUCUCACAAGAUGUUAACAUUUCUUCCAUUUCAUUUACAAUUAUUGCGUGAGUUACGCGUGAAAUCAUUCUAUGUAUCCAUGUUUCAACAUAAUCAAUACUUCACUUAUCAUUUUCAUGUGGGUACUUGAGAUUAUCUUAGUAUAGAAUGUUUAUUAGUUUCGACAACUUAUUUGCAAUUUUUGUCAAAACUAGAAUAUUUUAUGAAUUUAAUUGCAUUUUGAUGAUUUUCUAUAGAAAGAAAUUAAUAAUACACAAAUAGCCUCAUAAAUUCAUGAAAUUUUACGGAGGCACAACAUAUGUCCACAUAUAGUCAUAAAAUAGUGGGACCAUAAAAUCCAUAAGAUGUCAGCAUUUCUUCUAUUUCACUUCCACGUCUUCGCGUGAGUUACAUGUGAAAUCACUCUAAGUAUCCAGGUUUCAGCAUAAUCAAUACUUCUGUUUACCAUUUUUGUGUGGGGACUUGAGGUUAUCUUCUUAUGAAAUGUUUAUUAGUCUUGAUAAUUUAUUUGCAAUCUCUGGUCAAACAAGGAUAUUUUAUGAUAAGCAAUUCAUUCAUUAUCUAGCAAGUAUAUGAUACCGGAUAAAAUAAUAUAUGUAUCCGUCACUUAUCCGCACGAAUAAAUAUCUGGUCCAUGUAUCCAUAUCCAACCCAUUUCUAACUAUCCAUAUCCGACCCCAAUUCCAAUUGAAAUACAUUUGGGUAGGAUACAGGAUGAUCUACUAUUCGUCUCGUUUUCACCCCUACAUUUUAUUGUUGGUAUUGUCUUUAUGAUCAUUUAUUUAGUUAGGAUGGUAUAUACUUAUACUUAGUAACUGCUAAUAAAAUUUUGAUCAACAAAAUUAAAGCUAAUGUUUAGCAUUAGCCAUAUUCCUUGGUAAGCUUACACUGCUUUUUUCCCUACACAUUUGCUGAGUAUCAACCAUAAGUGUACUCACUCUUGAGGGAUUUGCUGCUCGGAAUUAGGUCAACAUGAAGAAGAAUACUAUGAUGAGUUCGAGGAGUCUAGGCUAUGUCGCUCCGGUUCACCUAUCUGUGGCUUAUGAUCGGGUCGUCGUCGUCGUGAUCAUCGUUUAGUUUCUAUUAUUUAGUUAUUUUGUAUAGACAUUUUACUUAUACAAUAAAGUUUGUGGCACUAGUUUCUAUACAAUAAGUCAUCAUAUGUGUGAAAUUUGAUCCUGGCACACAUAUGAGAUACAUCAGGAUUUGUCCUUAAAUCCGGUUGUGACGCCGACCAUGUUGGUCGUGUGAUAUCCUGGCCCCUGAGAUGGUGUUUUCCUAGCCCAAGGCUUAAUAGAAUUAAUAGAGUAUCCAUACCAACAAGGUGCAUCUUCUUUUUCAGAAGCCUAUCUCGAAAGAAUUUCCAUGUUAAGCGUGCUUGGCUUGGAUCGAUUUGGGAUGGGUGACCAACCGGGAAGUUUUCUCAGGUGCGCAUGAGUGAGGACAAAGUGUGCAUAAAAGACUCGUGUUGGUCUGUGGGGACGAUAUAUGAUCCUAGAGAGCUGCCAUGAGUAAGUACCGCCGGUCCAGGGAUUGGACGGGGUGUUACAGGUCGGUAUCGACCGCGCAUUAGAGUCCUGCUGGUAUCCACCAUGUCUGGUCGGUACCAACCACCUAGUGCCGAUGUGGUAGAUUCUAUUCAGUAGAAUCCAUUUUAAUCGUUGGAAUUCAAAAAAAUCAAAAAACUUAAAUCCUCCCAUUAAAUAUAGAGGGGGUGUAUGGGUUCAUUCGCACCCCUCACUCUUCAAUUCACAAGCCUUCUUCUCUGUUUGUUGUCGCCCACUCUCUAUCUUGCAUGAAUCCAAGGUGGAUUCUUAACUUUGAUAUGUUCACCGACUUGCACAACAAGCAAUCUCCACAAUAUCUUGAGACCCCCUUUUGGUGUGGGCAGAUCUUCUCCGAUGGUCUUUCUCCUAUCCAACAUUGGCUAGAAGAUGUUUAUGUUUGUCUUCAUUUCUUGACUCUCCAACCAUUGUUCCAUAUUCGUAUCCAUGCUGACCAUCCAUUGAUGUUCCUCCUCCUACCACUGAACCAAUUACAUCCAACGCUCCUUCUCCUCCUACUAGUGAAGUUUCUUCCACCGAUGUUACUCCUCCUCAACCUUUCACUUAUUCGUACCUUCCUUCAUACCUGUACUUGUAUGGGUAUCCAUAUGAUGAUCCUCCCUCAUUUCUUCCUCUAUAUGAUGCUCCUCUAAUAUAUGGUGCUCAUGCUCCUUUUUACCCUUCCAUAGGCAUGACAAUGCCCCCAAGCAUCCAUAAGGAUGCAGCCUCCAACUAGUCCACAUACUCUGGUGUGACUUAGUUCCAACGACAAAUGGAUUGGACUAGUAUGGAGGACAAAAGACUCGUAAGUAUUAAGUACAUAUAUAUUUUUAUAAAUCAGACACAAGUUUUAGCUCGACAACAUUUUUUAGUUCAUAAACUUGUAGAUCCACGCAUGGCUAUUGCACUCUAUUGACCCCAUUAAGAGAAAUGACAAAAAUGGAUCUAUCUUUUUGUAUAAGCCAAAUAAUAACUAUGUGCAACUCCACCUCAAAACCUCCUCACCAUAAUACCCCCAAGCAACCAAAGGACCAGUGGUCCAUAAGCAAUCAUAAGGUCACCCUCUUCAAUGACACCUACAACCAAUUAUCCAUGGCAUGGCUAGUGGAGCAAAUUGUGCUAUGCUUCUCAAAGUGGAAAAGAAGAGCUUCCACAAUAGGCCUAGUGAAACGUACUUUCAACUAGAGCACAUAUGGAGUGCUCUUCACCAGUAGCCCAAGUGGUGCGCGUGGCAUGAUGAUGAUGACGCUAGAUAUACAAGCAAUCGAUCACGUCUCAAAAUAGAAGUUGAUUAUAGCUCUGCAUCGCUAGACAAUGUCGGACCCAUAUGACAUAUUGGCCAUGAUAGGGAAAGAGCGCAACACAAAGGGAAGGGGCCAACAACGAGUAGCAUGGUGAACAAGCUCUACAAGGCUAGCUAGAGGAUAACACAAUCAAAAUUAUUUGAGCACUUCACCAAGUUAUUAGAUCAGUCAACCAUCAAUAUGGAUGAUGUCUUGAAAAAGACACAUAGGUUGGGUGUAAAAAAUGACCAAGCAAUUGAAACUAGAUGAGGAAGAAAAUGUGGAACUGAUAGAGGAGGGUGAUGACGAUGAGUAGUAGUAAUGUAUUAUUUUUUUACAAACAUGUAUUUUUAUUUAAAAAAUACAAAUUUAUUUAUUUUAAUUAUGUAAUUUUAUUUUCUUAAUUGAAUGAUCAGAUGAUUUUUCCAACAAAAUAUAGUGUAUUGUUUCAAAUACAAAUCGGUAAAAGAAAAAGAUAGUGUGGUGUUGACGUGACUAUGGUUGACAAUAAACUUGUAUAAAGUCUUAUAAUUAAUAAGGGAUCAUAGCACGAUUGAUAGUGUGAAUGAUAGCUGAUGGUGAUAAGUGUCGAGUGCAUUAGAUCUAGCCUAGGCCAUAUGGAUUAUGUUAUCGCAAGCCUGGAUCACUAUUCAUAGUAUGAAAUAUGUUAAAGUCUAUGGCAUAUUGUCAAAAGUAUUGAGAUUCUUAAUAUGAAUUGAUGCUAAAAUGCUUUUGCACAGACAAUUGAUGAUGCAAGAGGAUAUAUUAGCAGGGUGGGCUCAAUUAUAUUAAAUGGUAUUCGAUUGAAUAUCUAGUUUUUUGGCAAGAAAAAUUAUCUAUUUAGUGUAUAUAUGUAUACAUACUGGACAGAAGAAAAAUGAAGAUAAAUAAAUAUACAAUGAAGAAUUGGGUCCAAAAUAGACUUUUCUACUAUCCCCUCCCCAUCCUUGGACUAAUGGCCCAUUUUGGUCGAAGAAUGUAUAAGGCAAAAAGCCAAAAACAACUUGGCCUCCCCAUCCUACCUAUUCACUCUAUUUCUCAGCCUCACACCUAUGACUGUUGAAAGCAUCUAGGCCCUCAAAAGUUAUGAUGAUUAAUGACAACAUAAGAUUAUUGUGACUAAUUCGUGUUGCAUAGGCAAAUUUGAGUUAGAUCAUAAUGAUGGAGAAUGGUUUAGACAAUGUAUGUUUUCUAUGCCCCUACUUAUGAAUUUCGUUGUGGUCUUCAAAAGGAUGAAAGACAAGGUUAAGAAUCAAUUAGUUCUAAGUUUCGAUUGGAGUUGAGACACUCAGAGUAGUUUGGGACUUAGUUGUUCCUUUUACCAUACUAUAAAGGGAGUAGUUUAGGACUUCACUUUUCCUUUGAUCGUACUAUAAGGGGAGUAUAAACUAGUAGCUUGACUAAAUAAGUCUAAUGAGUCUAGUGUGGCAUAAACUAGUUGUUUUUAACUCUAGCUGACUUAGAAGGGGCCAAAAACUAGUCAGGAUCAAAACUCAACUCUUAAGUUUCAAAAUUGGACAAGUUAGAAGGGUUUCAAUGUCUUAGACCUUGUGUUUUACGGUUAUUAGACCAUAGUGGAUUAGUCUAAUUCCUCCACAUAGACAACAUGAGAGCACCCAAUCAUCAAACCCUAAAAUAGUACCUCAUCGAACCAAUGCAUUGGGUCCAAUUGUUUGUGUGAUCAGAUGGAGAGCUCUAGGGGUACGCCGGAUUGGUUCGAUGAUAUGUGUCAGACUGAACAAUGGCACUAUUUCAGCUACGGUUUUGGCUACAGGGUCAUCGGGCGCUAUGAACAGUUGCCUCAUUGAACCAAAGAGGAUAAGUCUAACAAGUGUUGCCCAAUGACUAGAGAGAUUUUUGUGGGCAUCAUUGUCGGCGUUUCGACCCCGGGUGGUCCCUGGACCGACGAGUAAAUUGUCGUUGUGUGUCCUAGCCCAGAUGGGUCGACGCGAGAUGGAACACAAGGGGGGAAAAGGGAACCGCGGCUCGUGUUAUCCUGCACCCAGGGCGGAUGCGCUUGCAGUAGGGGGUUACAAGCGUUCACGAGAGAGGGAGAGAGCCUGUUCGUCAGCCCGUCCUCCCGCGCGGCCACCUCCUCAUACGAGGGCCCUGGACCUUCCUUUUAUAGAUGUAAGGAGAGGGUCCAGGUGUACAAUGGGGGAUGUAGCAAUGUGCUAACGUGUCCGGCAGAGAGGAGCCAGGGCCCUAUGUACAUGCCGACGUGGCUGUCAGAGAGGUGUUAGUGCCCUGUGCAUGUGAUGUCGUGGCCGUCGGAGGAGCACUUGAGCCCUGUAGAAGCACAGCUGUCGGGGCUGUCGGGUCCUUGCUGACGUCUCCUUGCUUCCGUAGGGGCCUGAGAACCGCCGUCGUCAUGGGAGCACGCGGGGUGCCAUCAUUACUUGUUUACCGGGGCGAGCCAGAUGGGACGCUGGUCUUGUUCCCCAUAGCCUAAGCUAGCUAGGGGUAGGGUAAUGAUGUACCCCCCUGUAACGUGGUCGGUCCGAGCCCAAGGUCGGGCGAGGCGGUGAUUCCUCCGAGGUCGAGGCUGAGUCCGAGCCCUGGGGUCGGGCGAGGCGGAGACCGUCUUCCGGGGUCGAGGCGGAGUCCGAGCCCUGGGGUCGGGCGAGGCGGAGAUCGUCUUCCGAGGUCGAGGCGGGGGCCGAGCCCUGGGGUCGGGCGAGGCGGAGCUUCCUAUGGCGCCUGAGGCUGGACUCGGCUGCUGUCAGCCUCACCCUGGCGGGUGGCACAGCAGUCGGAGCAGGGCAGGCGGCGCUGUUUUCCUAUCAGGUCAGUCAGUGGAGGGGCGAAGUGACUGCAGUCACUUCGGCCCUGCCAACUGAGGAACGCACGUCAGGAUAAUGUGUCAGGCGAUCCUUGCAUUGAAUGCUCCAACGAUACGGUCGGUUGGCAAGGUGAUCUGGCCGAGGUUGCUUCACUGCGAAGCCUACCCGAGCUGGGCCACGGGCGAGUCGAAGGUGCGCCCGUUGCUUGAGGAGGCCCUCGGGCGAGGCGUGAAUCCACCUGGGUCUACUGUUCCUGCCCGAGGUUGGGCUCGGGCGAGGUGAGAUCGUGUCCCUUGAGUGGACGGAGCUUUGACCUGUAUUGCGCCCAUCAAGCCUUUGCAGCUUGUGCUGAUGGUGGUUACCAGCCGAGUUUAGGAGUCUUGGGGGUACCUCUAAUUAUGGUCCCCGACAAUCAUACUAGUCCGACAAUGAGUGUAGGAUCAUACGUCGAAGGCUAAGUUUUAAAUGACCAGUUCUGACAUGGCACAAUAGUUACCAUUGUGUCUCAUCAGACCCUACAUUAAGGUACGACAAUGAUCGUUGGAUGGUAUGGUGAUGUUGAAUUUAGCCUAACUUGGCAGUAAUGGUUGGUUAGCUGGUUUGGGACUACAAAUAUCCCCAUCAAAUGGCCAGCACACCUACCCUUGUCUUCAUUUAAUAGCCAAAGUAACCCAUAUAUUGUGAGAUAAGGAGUCAUUGCAUAGUGGGGGACUUGAGAGUCGGAUUCAUAAUUUUAUUGUCCUAAUUAAUGCAAACAAGAGAUAUUAGUGUGCAUCCAUUAAUCACAUCAGUUUUUUAGAGACAAUUGAUAAUUUGUGUUUACUACUCUUGGUGACUAGCAUCACCUAGAUGGUUUGGUGGCACUUGAAGUGCAACGAGCGUCUAGAGAGAUAGUGGGUGGCCCAACUGAAAAACUAUAUAUGGUUGUGAGCGGUUCACCGUGAUGAAGUGGAAAAGAACUAGCUUGCAGUGAGCACUUAGUCCUUGUGCGAAUCAAGGGGGGUGAAAACCUUAUGUGGUUGCUCCAAUAAUGAGGAUUAGGGAAGAACGUCGACUCUCUGUGACAUCAGAACGAACUUGAGGAAUCUUCUAAAUCCUUGCAUUACUUUCCACAAUUAUGUUUGUACAAAUUUACAUUGUUAGAUUUGCCAUGAUGCAUAGUGUUGAAAUUAAGGCACAAAAUUUUUGUAUACACAUUAGACACUCUGGUGAAAUUAAGCUUAUUAUAAUUAGGAUAUGCAUAUGUAUUGUGAUGAAGAAAAGAAAUGAAGAUCAAUAAACAUCUAGUGACAAAUUCAAUAUAAAAUAGAUUUUUCUACUCCCCUCCCCUCCACACCCGGGGAAAUCCUCAGCCACCCUUCCCCACCUAUUCACUCUCUUUCUCGGUCCCUCCCGUGAGUGUAACUGAAAAGGUGGUGAUCGGAAACACUUCAAGCCCACUACUUCUCCCCGUUUGGAAUUAAACACCAAUAAGGAAGAUGUUAAAAGAAAUAGGGAUGGUCAAUUCUUGUGACCCUAUAAAAUUUUCCUCCUUCCAAAUGAAAUAUCCCCCUUUGUUAUAAGAAUUUGUUCAAAAUAAUUUGACCGUUGCAAUAAAUAGACUAAAUUGAUCCUAUAUGUAUGCAUAAAUAUGAUGAAUAGCAAACCAUAUGAAUAACAUAGUAAUGAAUUGAAAGCAUGUGGGAGUUUAACCUAUACGAAGAAAGCAAGCAAGAGAUACUAAAUACUCUUGAAACCAAUAUGCAUGGUAUUAAAGUUGAUACUAGUAUUGUCGGCGUUUCGACCACGGGGGGUCCCUGGACCGACGAGUAAAAUUGUCGCUGUGUGCCCCAGCCCAGAUGGGUUGGCGCGAGAUGGAACACAAGGGGGGGGGGAAACCGCGGCUCAUGUUAUCCUGUGCCAGAGGAGGAUGCGCUUGCAGUAGGGGUUACAAGCGUUUGCGAGGGAGAGAGAGAGUGUGUGAGCCGGUUCGUCAGCCCGUCCUCCCGCGCGACCCCCUCCUCCCGUAUAAGGGCCUUGGCCGUUCCUUUUAUAGAUGCAAGGAGAGGGUCCAGGUGUACAAUGGGGGUGUAGCAAUAUGCUAACGUGUCCGGCAGAGAGGAGACAGAGCCCUAUGUACAUGCUAACGUGGCUGUCGGAGAGGUGCUAGAGUCCUUUGUACGCGGUGUCGUGGCCGUCGGAGGAGUGUUUGAGCCCUGUAGAAGAACAGCUGUCGGGGCUGCUUGGACCUUGCUGACGUCUCCUUGCUUCCGUAGGGGGCUGAGAACCACCAUCGUCAUGGACGCACGCGGGGAGCCAUCAUUACUUGUUACCGCGGCGAGCCUGGAUGGGACACCGGUCUUGUUCCCCCAUAGCCUGAGCUAGCUAGGGGUAGGGUAAUGAUGUACCCCCUGCGGCGUGGUCGGUCCGAACCCAAGGUCGGGCGAGGCGGAGACUCCUCUUGAGGCCAAGGCCGGGGUCGGGCGAGGACGCGAUUCCUCCCGAGGUCGAGGUUGAGGCCGAGCCCUGGGGUCGGGCGAGGUGGAGACCACCUUCCGAGGCCGAGGCGGGGGCCGAGCCCUGGGGUCGGGCGAGGCAGAGACUUCCUCCUGAGGCCGAGGCCCAAGGUCGGGCGAGGCGGAGCUUCCUGUUGCACCUAAGGCUGGACUCAGCUGCUGUCAGCCUCACCCUAGCGGGUGGCACAACAAUCGGAGAGGGGCAAGCGGCGCUGUUCUCCUGUCAGGUCAGUCAGUGGGAGGGCGAAGUGACUGCGGUCACUUCGACCUUGCCGACUGAGGCACGCGUGUCAGGAUAAGAUGCCAGGCGAUCCUUGCAUUGAAUGCGCCUGCGAUACGGUCGGUUGGUGAGGCGAUUUGCCAAGGUUGCUUCACUACGAAGUCUGCCCGAGCUGGGCUUCGAGCGAGUCGAGGGUGCGCCUGUUGCUUGAGGAGGCGUGAAUUCACCUGGGCCUACUGUUCUCGCCCGAGGCUGGGCUCGGGCGAGGCGAGAUUGCGUCCCUUGAGUAGACGAAGCCUUGACCUGAAUUGCGCCCAUCAGUCUCUACAGUUUGUGCUGAUUGUGGUUACCAGCCGAGUUUAGGAGUGUUGGGGUACCCCUAAUUAUGGUACCUGACAGUAGCCCCUGAGCCUCAAAGGGAGUGUUGGUACUCGCUUGGAGGCUUUGUCGCACUUUUUUGCAAGGGGACCAACCUUUCUCGGUUAUAUUUUGUUCCGGUGGGUGCGCGCGAGCGCACCCGCCGGGUGUAGCCCCUGAGGCCUCAGAGGAGUGGUUUGACUCCUCCAAGGUCUUAAUGCCUUUAGUGAUGCCUUGGCCAGUCUGGUUGUUCCCUCAUGCGAUCUGAUCGUAGCCCGGGUGCAUGGUCAGGUUCCGAGUUUUCAGGCUGGUCUGUUGACGCUGUCAACGGUUUGGCCGUAGCCAGGUUUGCGAGAGCAGCCCCCGAGCCUCUGCAUGGAGCGAGAGGACGAUCAAGGACUGACUCGACUUUUAUCAUACGCCCCUUCGUCGCCUUUCCGCAAGGAGGAAGGGGGGAAAGCGCCAUGUUGCCCUCGGAGGGCGCCGAACAUGGUGUCUCCAGUGAGUUGCUAACGGGUGAUCCGAGUGGACGCCCGUGCCCCGUUCGAUAAGGGUCGGCUAGUGGCCCAGAGGCGCGCUCCAAAAGUACCUACAGGUGAUUUGCCAGACCCGGUCCCGUUCGAUAGGGUCCGAGGGCUCGAUGCCUCCCUCUGAUGGGAUUCCGUUACAAAAUCGCUCCUGCUGGUCUCGGAAAUGUCCUAGGGUACCUCGGGAGCGUAGCCCGAGCCUCGGCCAUGUAUCGGUCGUACCCAGAGUCAUCCCUCGCUCUGCGUGCUCUGGGGCGACUGUCGAACCCUUCCGAGGGGCCAGCCUUCGAACCCCUGAUCAGUAGUGGGCGCGGAGCCCGAGUGCUCUGAGGCGGCUGUCGAACCCUUCCGAGGGGCCAGCCUUCGAACCUCUGAUCAGUAAUGAGCCUGAAGCCCGAGUGCUCUGGGGCGGCUGUCGAACCCUUCCGAGGGGCCAGCCUUCGAACCCCUGAUCAGUAGGAGGGCUUGGGGCCCGCUUCCUUCGCGGAGAAGGAUCCCUUUCAAAAUAUCCCCUUUCCCGGUCCCUGUGGCAAGAGAGAGAAAGGGGAAGAGGAAAAGGAUAUGAAUUUAAACGGUGUGGCGCACCUUCUUUGAUGUGGUCAUCAUGGCGGAGGUGAAACGACGCCCGCUUCUCCUGCCAAAGGUGUCGCUUGCCCUGCCGCGAAGUUAAUGCUAUGGGACGGGUGGUUCACAGGGCGGUCGUUGCGCGAGCCGUUCGAGGGAUGGAACACGGACACGUCGUCUUCACGCCGUGGGAGAGGGCUCCCCUGCUGCUCUAGGAGGGGACGUGAGCCUGCAGACGACUUGACUGCUGCUUCCGCUCGCCUGCUGCCGCCAUUACUGUCGGCCUAGUUUUGGCCAUAUCGACCAUCACGCCUCCUCCCGCGGCUGACUGACCCGUGACCGAUGUGCUCGGUUGGCACUGUUGGGCCAUGCGCAGGGUUGCCUCGAGUCGCGGCACUGGCUCCGCAGUCGAGAAGGCGCGGCGUUGGCGCAAAGGGCGGUGCAGUUUCUCGCACGUAGUAACUGGCGCGCCGGUUACAUGAUGUGUGGGCCUAGGCCUCCAUGCUGGAUGCGUCGAAGUCGAAGGGGUGCGUCCCCGUGGUGCGCUUGCACGCCACCUGCAUGGCGGUCCGCCCUUUCAACCACUGGUUUCGGCGAGGAUGGAGGAGUGCUUAUAACCGCGAGGCGGUUACACGCUCCGCGCGCGAUGGUUUGGCUUCUUCUGUUCCGGGCCAGCUUGCAUGACGUGUAGGACCCUGCCCCCAUGUCGUAGGCGGAGGACCCUGGAGCACGUUGGUGAGGACUUAGCCCGCGACGCUUGAGGGAGAGCCGCCUUUAAAAAGGGAUCGAUCCCCCGGGCGGUAGCCAUGCCUUCGCACUCCCCUCAUGCAUCGCGCCCUUCCACCUUCCGAGCCCCCGGAUGGGGAGCGCCCGCGUUGCCUUCGUCUUGUUGUUGGAGGAGCGCAACCUCACGGAGGUUGGCACCCUUCAGCCAUCGCUCGACUUCAAGGAUUUUCAUCAGGCAGCCCGGCUGCAUUCCCUCACCAAUGGUCACCCAGGCUGGUGACCACCAGUUCGAUGGUGGGGAGAAGCAAGUCGGGCUGCGGCCUCUGCCCCGCCCUCAGCUUCAAGGAUCUUCAUCAUCCUUGCUGUGGCGGGGGGCGAGCUGAGCCGAAGCUCUACCUCCCGUAUGGGCCGGUGGGCCACCUCUUCCUUCAGCAUUCAGGGGAGAGGGCACUCACCGGCCUAGCGGAGGGGCGGACUUCGACAACGCGGGGUCGGUCGGCCGCAAGCGUUGUCAGCUCCAGCAUGCCUGGCUCACUGGCUCAGCUGGCUCUGGCGCUGCUUUUGGUGCCACCUCCGACCGCUGGGGCGGAGUGUGGCUGUCCACCCACCGUACGGGCGGCUGUUGUGCCAUGCGCACCGGGGGACCGUCCAAGACGUCGCUCGCCGCUAGGGCGGCGUUCGUGUUCUUGGAUUAUCUUGUCCUCACUCCGGCACGACCCCUCCGUGUGGAGGUCGGUGCCUGCCCGUCCGCGAGGACUUGAGUGGGGUUCUGCCAGUGCAGGCUGGGGUGGCUACCAUUUCAUUGGCGUAGCGCCGGCGUGCAGGUGGCCGCUGUUGUCGGUGCUGAGGUGGUGGUCGCCAGAGGAGGUUUCUCCGCCGACGAGAUUGUCGGUGCCACCUGCGGCCGGACCUCCGGCUCUUUGGCUUUGAUAGCUUUUCCUCGCCCCUCGAGUGGGGACGUGGGCGAGGGCCUUGCCAUAGCAGCAUCUGCCCUGAGGUCAUCGCCGCUGCUGUUUAGCCGCCCGGAGCGGAGGUCGUUGUCGCUGCUGCUGCAGUGGUCGGCGGUGAGCCACUUGGAGUUUGUCGUCCCACAGGCCCUCUGAUGUGGAGGUUGUUCAUACCCGCGGGAGUGGAACCGGAGUUCCGUUUGUAAUGGCACCUUGAGUGCCGGUGUGUGUUCAUUGUGGCUGUCGGGGCCUGAACAUCUGGGGAUUUGGGCGUGAAGCCGUGUUUCUCCCUCAUUUCGAGCGCCGUAACUCACCUGUCGGCUAGCUGAACUGCUUAACCGAGUGUGAGUUGCCCUGUGCGGAAGGUUACGAGUGAGAUAUCCGUAUCCCAGAGGCGUAGGAGUCCCUCGGCUCGGUCGACCUUACCACUCAAGGCUUCUCUUGCUCAGUUACGGAACCCUCGGCCGCUCUACGAUGAGCCGGAGCCGGAGGCAGCGGUGUCAGCGUGGACAGAGGUGGAGUCGGCUCGAGAAGAGGCUUUGUCGGCCCGGGGGCACGUGGCUUCCCUGGCCGGGCCCUGCGUCAAAAUUUUCCUCGGAAAAAGUCUUUCUGCCAGAAGAUCUUUCACGCUUUUCGACUGCUUCGAUAGCGGGGUUCCCUGGCCAAGGAGGCGCAGCAGCGGCGGCUGGAGCCUAGCCAGGUCAUCCGUGAGUAGGACCAACUUCGGAGUUAGGCUGCCGAGGCCGUGAGCCGGGCUGAUGUCCUCGGGGGACAGCUGGCUGAGGCUACGGAGCCGCCGGUCGAGAUGUCUGCUCGGGCCGGGACCCUAGAGGAGACCCUGGCUGCGAUGGCCCAAGCGCGGUGCUGACGUCUUCCUUUGAGGUGGAGAUCCUUCCGCCCGUGUCGCCGUCCGAGGCCGGGCCAGAUUUCGCCGAAGGUGGAAACAACACCGAGGGUGCUGCUGUUCCCUCUGUCGAUGUCUGAACCUGCAAGAACAGUUUGUCUGUAGUGUGCGUAUGUUUUUUGCGGCCGCUGAGGCCCAAACACUUUGUUGUCGUGUUAUAAAGCUGUGUUUCUUUUCCUCUCAUUUCGAGUAUCAGGACUUGUUCGUCAGUAGCAGAAUCACUUAUCCGAGCGAGAGUUACUUAUCGUGGAAGGUGAUGAGUGAGGUAUCCAUUAUCCCGGAGGCGUAGGAGUCCCUCGGCUCGGUCAGCCUUGCCGCUUACGUGUACUUUUACUCGUCCGCAGGAUUCUGUUAUCGAUAUAGUCGAUAAGGCACGAAAAUCAUUCUGGCAGAAAAGUUUUCGAGCGUUGAGACUUGUUCGGCAGCAGAAUCGCUUAUCCGAGCGUGAGUUACUUAUCGCGGAAGGUGAUGAGUGAGGUAUCCGUAUCCCGGAGGCGUAGGAGUCCCUCGGCUCGGUCGGCCUUGCCGCUUAUGUGUACUCCGUCGUUUUCAGGACCCCGCUAUCGAAGCAGUCGAAAAGCGCAAAAGAUGUUCUGGCAGAAAGACUUUUUCCGAGGAAAAUUUUGACGCAGAGGGGGUUCCCCCCUUCUAGCCCCCGAGGGAGGGUCUGGCUUUGCCGAGGCAAGGCUGACCCUUCCUUGACGGUUAGACUCUAUUUGUGUAUGUAAAGAAAACGAGGCAUAUGAACAACUCGAAACAUCUUAAGGGUAGAAGCGACGUAGCUAUCGGAUGUUCCAAACGUUGCUGUAGACCUCACCAUGAUCGUUGGCCAGCUUGUAUGUCCCGGGCUUCAAAAUCUUGGCGAUGAUGAACGGCCCUUCCCAGGGGGGAGUAAGCUUGUGGCGCCCUCGGGCGUCUUGCCGCAGCCGAAGCACCAAGUCUCCCACUUGGAAGUCUCGGGGCCAAACCCCUCGGGCGUGGUAGCGUCGCAGAGACUGCUGAUACCGUGCCGAGUGUAGCAAGGCCACAUCCCGAGCCUCUUCCAGCUGGUCCAGCAAGUCUUCUCGGUUGGUCUGAUUUCUUUGGUCGUCGUACGCCUUUGUCCUCGGGGAACCGUAUUUUAAGCUAUGGGCAAGAUAGCCUCGACCCCAUAGACUAGAAACAACGGUGAGAAACCCAUGGCUCGGCUUGGCGUCGUCCUCAGACUCUAGACUACCGAGAGUAGUUCCUUCAUCCACCACUUGCCGAACUUGUUGAGGUCGUGGUAGAUCCUUGGUUUAAGUCCCUGCAGAAUCAUGUCGUUGGCACGCUCCACCUGCCCAUUUGUCAUGGGGUGAGCCACGGCUGCCCAGUCCACCCGGAUGUGGUGGUCCUUGCAGAAGUCGAGGAACUUCUUCCCAGUGAACUGGGUGCCGUUGUCGGUGAUGAUGAAAUUCGGGACCCCGAAGCGAUGGAUGAUGUUGGUGAAGAACGCCACCGCCUGCUCGGACCUGAUGCUGGUUAGGGGUCGGACCUCGAUCCACUUGGAGAAUUUGUCGAUGGCGACCAGCAGGUGCGAGAAGCCCCUGGGUGCCUUCUGCAAGGGACCAACGAGGUCUAGACCCCACACAGCAAACGACCAAGUGAUGGGUAUUGUCUGCAGGGCCUGAGCGGGCAGGUGCGUCUGCCUCGCGUAGAAUUGACACCCCUGGCAGGAGCGUACAAUCCUAGUGGCGUCGGCCACCGCGGUUGGCCAGUAGAAGCCCUGUCGGAAAGCGUUCCCAACGAGGGCUCGAGGUGCUGCGUGGUGACCGGAAGCCCCCGAGUGUAUCUCUUGCAAUAGCUCCUGCCCUUCGGCGAUGGAUAUGCAUCGUUGGAGAAUGCCUAAGGGGCUGUGGUGGUAGAGCUCCUUUUCAUUACCCAGUAAGACGAACGACUUGGCGCGCCGCGCCAGUCGCCGAGCUUCGGCUUUGUCGAGGGGGAGCUCUCCUCGGUGGAGAUAUUGUAGGUAGGGGGUCUGCUAGUUCCGAUUAGGCGUGACCCCAUUCCGCUCUCCCUCGAUGCGCAGUGCCUCACCCUCGGCGGCCGAGGAUGCCUCGGGCUGGGUCGAGGCCUCCUCGGGUCGGGCCGAGGCCUCCUCGGGCUGGACCGAGGCCUCCUCGGGCUCGGGCGUGUCGUCGGUCUUGACGGAGGGUUGAUGUAUGUCUCUGGAGAAGACGUCCGGGGGAACCGUUGUCCGCCCCGAGGCUAUUUUAGCUAGCUCAUCCGCAGUCUCGUUAUAGCGUCGAGCGACGUGGUUGAGCUCGAGCCCGUAUAACUUGUCUUCCAGGCGCCAAACCUCGUUGCAGUAGGCCUCCAUCUUCCUGUCGCGGCAGUGGGAGUUCUUCAUGACUUGAUCAAUGACAAGCUACGAGUCGCCACGAGCGUCGAGGCGCCGAACCCCUAGCUCGAUGGCGAUGCGCAACCCGUUAACCAGAGCUUCGUACUCGGCCACGUUGUUUGACGCCGGGAAAUGGAGGCGCAGCACGUAGCGGAGGUGCUUCCCGAGGGGUGAGAUGAAGAGCAGGCCCGCGCCGGCUCCUGUUUUCAUCAGCGACCCAUCGAAGUACAUGGUCUAGAGUUCCGGUUGGAUCGGAGCUGUUGGUAGCUGGGUGCCGAUCCAUUCAGCCACGAAGUCCGCCAAGACUUGGGACUUGAUGGCCUUCUGAGGAGCGAACGAGAUUGUCUCGCCCAUGAUCUCCACCACCCACUUUGCUAUCCUACCCGAGGCCUCUCGGCACUGGAUGAUCUCCCCCAGGGGGAAGGAUGACACCAUAGUUACCGGAUGAGACUCGAAGUAGUGUCGCAACUUUCGCCGCUUCAGGAUUACUGUGUACAGUAGCUUCUAAAUUUGCGGGUAGCGGAUCUUGGUCUCGGAUAGCACUUCACUGAUGAAGUAGACCGGCCUCUGGACGAGCAGUGCAUGCCCUUCUUCUCGUCUCUCGACUACGAUCGCGGUGCUGACCACCUGAGUGGUCGCGGCUACGUAGAUCAAGUGGGCUUCUCCUGCAGUGGGGGGCACCAAGAUGGGCGCACUUGUAAGGAGUGCCUUUAAGUUUCCAAGGGCUUCCUCGGCCUCGGGGGUCCAAGAGAAGUGCUCGGUCUUCCUCAAGAGGCGAUACAAGGGUAGGCCCCUUUCGUCGAGGCGUGAGAUGAAGCGGCUCAGAGCUGCAAGGCAUCCCAUGACCCUUUGUACUCCUUUCAAGUCUUUGAUAGGCCCCAUGUUGGUGAUGGCCGCGAUUUUCUGCGGGUUGGCCUUGAUGCCCCGCUCAGAGACGAUGAACCCCAGGAGCAUGCCUCGGGGGACACCGAAGACACAUUUCUCGGGGUUAAGUUUCACGCCCUUCGCCCUCAGACACUUGAAUGUUGUUUCAAGGUCAGAGAGAAGGUCGGAGGCUUUCUUCGUCUUGACUACGAUGUCAUCGAUGUAAGCCUCGACCUUUCGGCCGAUGUGCUCUCCAAACACGUGGUUCAUGCACCUUCGGUAUAUCGCACCUGCAUUCCUCAAACCAAAUGGCAUAGUAGUAUAGCAGUACAUGCCAAAAGGUGUGAUGAAAGAAGUCGCGAGCUGGUCGGACUCUUUCAUCUUGAUUUGGUGAUACCCUGAGUAGGCGUCGAGGAAUGACAGGGUUUCGCACCCAGCAGUGGAAUCCACGAUUUGAUCGAUGCGAGGCAGAGGGUAGGGAACCUUCGGACAUGCUUUGUUUAGACCAGUGUAGUCUACACACAUCCUCCAUUUCCCACCUUUCUUUUUCACAAGCACAGGGUUGGCUAACCAUUCGGGAUGGAAUACCUCUUUGAUGAACCAUGCAGCCAUCAGCUUGUGGAUCUCCUCGCCUAUGGCUCUGCGCUUUUCUUCGUCGAAACGGCGCAGAGGCUGCUUCACGGGUCGGGCACUGGCUCGGAUAUCCAGUGAGUGCUCGGUGACAUCCCUCGGUAUCCCGGGCAUGUCCGAAGGACUCCACGCAAACACCUCGGCGUUUGCGUGGAGAAAGUCGACGAGCACUGCUUCCUAUUUGGGGUCGAGCUUGGAGCCGAUCCGGACUUGCUUGCGGGCAUCGUUGCUGGGGUCGCGAGGCACGGACUUAACCGCCUCUACUGGCUCGAAGUUGCCGGCGUGGCGCUUUGCAUCAGACACCUCCUUGGAGAGGCACUCCAGGCCGAAGAUGAGGGCCUCAGAUUCGGCGAGGGCCUCAGCAUACUCCACGCACUCCACGUCGCAUUUGUACGCGUGUCGGUACGUGGAUCCGACGGUGAUGACCCCGUUGGGGCCCGACAUCUUGAGCUUGAGGUAGGUGUAGUUGGGGAUGGCCAUGAACUUGGCAUAGCACGGUCUCCCCAGCACCGCGUGGUAGGUUCCUCGGAAUCCGACCACCUCGAACGUGAGGGUUUCUCUGUGGAAGUUGGAGGGAGUUCCGAAGCAGACGGGCAGAUCGAGUUGUCCAAGGGGCUGGACGCGCUUCCCGGGGAUGAUCCCGUGAAAGGGCGCCGCACCGGCCCGGAUCGUGAACAGAUCGAUUUCCAAGAGCCCGAGGGUCUCGACGUAGAUGACGUUGAGGCUGCUGCCUCUGUCCAUGAGGACCUUGGUGAGCCUGACGUUGCCGAUGACGGGGUCGACAAUGAGCGGGUACUUUCCUGGGCCCGGCACGCAGUCGGGGUGGUCGCCUUGGUCUAAGGUGAUGGGCUUGUCGGACUAGUCUAGGUAGACUGGCGCCGCCACCUUUACCGAGCAGACCUCCCGGCGCUCCUACUUGCGGUGCCGAGCCGAGGCGUUCGCCACUUGCCCAUCGUAGAUCAUGAAACAGUCGUGGACCUCAGGGAACUCCUCUGCCUUGUCGCCCUCCUUGUCGUUGUCUUGGCAUUUGCCACCUUCCGCCGGGGGCCCAGUCUUAUGGAAGUAGCGCCGAAGCAUGACGCAUUCCUCAAGGGUGUGCUUGACGGGACCCUGGUGGUAGGGGCACGACUCCUUGAGCAUCUUGUCAAAUAGGUUGGCUCCUCUGGGAGGCUUCCGAAGGUUCCUAUGCUCGGCGGCAGCGACAAGAUCUGCGUCGGCAGCGUCGCGUUUCGCUUGCGACUUCUUCUUGCCUUUCUUCUUCGUGAUGCGCUGGGCGGACGCCUCGGGGACGUCUUCCUGCUGGCGUCCCUGAGGCUGCUUGUCCUUCUGGAAGAAGGCCUCGACCACCUCCUGACCAGAGGCGAACUUGGUGGCGAUGUCCAUCAACUCGCUCUCCCUGGUGGGAGUCUUGCGACCCAGUUUGCUCACCAGGUCGCGGCAAGUGGUGCCGGCGAGGAACGCGCCGAUGACAUCCGAGUCGGUGAUGUUGGGAAGCUCGGUGCGCUGCUUCGAAAAUCGCCGGAUAUACUCCCGCAGGGAUACCCCUGGCUGCUGGCGGCAGCUUCGGAGAUCCCAGGAGUUCCUAGGGUGCAUGUAUGUGCCCUGGAAGUUUCCAGCGAAGGCUUUGACUAGAUCGUCCCAGUUGGAUAUCUGCGCGGGAGGCAGAUGCUCCAGCCAGGCUCGGGCGGCGUCGGAGAGGAACAGGGGGAGGUUGCGGAUGAUGAGGUUGUCAUCGUCCGUUCCACCUAGCUGGCAGGCCAGCCGGUAGUCCGCAAGCCACAGUUCUGGCCUUGUUUCCCCCGAGUACUUGGUGAUGGUAGUCGGGGCUCGGAACCGGGUUGGGAACAGCGCCCGUCGUAUGGCCCGGCUGAAGGCUUGCAGACCAGGUGGUUCGGGCGAGGGGCUUCGAUCCUCCCCACUGUCAUAGCGUCCCCCACGCCUGAGGUGGUAGCCUCGGCACACCUUUUCGUCGAGGCGGGCUCGACCGUCGUGGUGGCGGUGCUCGUUGAUGAGGCAACCCGGGGCUGCAAGCAUCGCGUCCCUCGUGCGCCCGGUGUGGACCGAGGCUUCCCGCAUGAAUCAGGAAGUCGCGGCGUGAUGCUCCGGGGGGUACCCUUGCCUUCGAGAGGCAUAGCUCUCGGCCUGUCGGACCGCGGCAUCCUCCAAGAGAUUCUUGAGUUCUCCCUGGAUACGCCGCCCCUCGGUGGUGGAUGGCUCCGGCAUCGCUCGGAGUAGUAUUGCCGCUGCAGCCAAGUUCUGGCCGACCCCACUGGAAGCUGGGGGCAGCCUUGCCCUAGCAUCGUCAGUGAUACGGCGCUGGACGUCCUGGGCCUGAUGACACGCUUCUCCGGCUAGUGCUCGGCCUGCCCACUCCUGCUCGAUGUUUUGCCGGAGCUGCACAAGUUGUCCUGCUUCCUCGUCGAGCUUGGCCUGCAUCUCGCGGAUUUGCUCGAGCUGUGUGUCCUGACCCCCCGCAGGGACUGGUACCACAGCUAGCUCCCGCAGGAUGUCCACGCGAGGCCCAGGCCCAGGGGGAUCAUCGUCCUCCGGCAUACCAAGGUGGUUGCCUUCGUCGUGACCCCCUAGAUCGAUGUGGAAACAUUCGUGACUUGGGCCACAACCUUCGUCGUCAAGGCUGUGGCCAUCAUCGGAGCAAUGGGAGAGCCAGUAGUCUCAUGCGGUCAUGAAGUCUCGCAUGGCACUAGGAUUACCGAGCCCGGAGAAAUCCCAACCAGAGUCGGGCUCAUCGUCUUCCUCGGAACCCGGGGGCCCAUAGGUCGAGACGGCCGCCAGUCGGUCUCAGGUUGACCACAUAUGGUACCCCGGAAGGUUAGGAUAUGCCUUUAUGAAAGCGCUCACCGAAGCGGGAUCGCUUGGUGGAUCGAAGCUGAAUCUAAAAGGCACAGAGUGGAAAAUGGACGGUACCUCUUGAUCGAUGGACGGUGACGAGGUCGCGUCGGGGACGGACCGCACUGUUAUCUCAGGUAUGAGGCUAACGCCCAGCAAGUCCUCCACGGGAGUGCUAGCGUCAUCUGUCCUCUUGGGGUUGGCGUGUUGCAGGGAAACGACGCUCGUCGUUGUCCCGGGCGCGAGGGCAACGACAGACAUGUCCCCCGCUGGGGUGCCAGCAUCGUCGACUCGCUCGACAGCCGACGAGAUGUCGCCUCCCGCCUGGCCAUGAUUGCCCCGCCUCCUCCUCCUGCGGUGAGGAAGGCGGCAGGACAAACCCGGAUGCUGCUCUUCCGCCACGGGGGGAAGACGUCGCCAAGUCCGCCGCCGCCGGGCGGGCUGACGGCCGUCGUUGUCGCUGCCGCGCUGCGGGGGAAGGAGUACCAUGUCGUAGCUACCGUCGAGGGACAUGAACUCGAGACUCCCGAAACGGAGCAGCGUCCUGGGCUGAAGAAGUUGCUGGAGACUACCCAUCUGGAACUCAACGGGAAGUUGUUCGUCAACACGCAGCAGGCCCCUACCUGGCACGCCAACUGUCGGCGUUUCGACCCCGGGAGGGCUCCCUGGACCGAUGAGUAAAAUUGUCGCUGCGUGCCCCAGCCCAGAUGGGUUGGCAUGAGAUGAAACACAAAGGGGGGGACCGCGGAUCGUGUUAUCCUGCGCCAGAGGAGGAUGCGCUUGCAGUAGGGGUUACAAGCGUUCACGAGGGAGAGAGAGAGAGAGAGUGUGUGAGCCGGUUCGUCAGCCCGUCCUCCCGCGCGACCCCCCUCCUCCCGUAUGAAGGCCUUGGCCCUUCCUUUUAUAGAUGCAAGGAGAGGGUCCAGGUGUACAAUGGGGGUGUAGCAAUAUGCUAACUUGUCGGGUAGAGAGGAGCCAGAGCCCUAUGUACAUGCCAACGUGGCUGUCGGAGAGGUGCUAGAGUUCUGUGUACGUGGUGUCGUGGCCGUCGGAGGAGUGUUUGAGCCCUGUAGAAGCACAGCUGUCGGGGCUGCUGGGACCUUGCUGACGUCUCCUUGCUUCCGUAGGGGGCUAAGAACCACUGUCGUCAUGGACGCACGCGGGGAGCCAUCAUUACUUGUUACCGGGGCGAGCCUGGAUGGCACGCUGGUCUUGUUCCCCCGUAGCCUGAGCUAGCUAGGUGUAGGAUAAUGAUGUACCCCCUGCGGCGUGGUCGGUCCGAGCCCAAGGUCGGGCGAGGCGAAGACUCCUCCUGAGGCCAAGGCCGAGGUCGGGCGAGGACGCGAUUCCUCCCGAGGUCGAGGUUGAGGCCGAGCCCUGGGGUCGGGCGAGGCGGAGACCACCUUCCGAGGCCGAGGCGGGGGCCGAGCCCUGGGGUCGGGCGAGGCGGAGACUUCCUCCUGAGGCUGAGGCCCAAGGUCGGGCGAGGCGGAGCUUCCUGUUGCGCCUGAGGCUGGACUCAGCUGCUGUCAGCCUCACCCUGGCGGGUGGCACAGCAAUCGGAGAGGGGCGAGCGGCGCUGUUCUCCUGUCAGGUCAGUCAGUGGGAGGGCGAAGUGAUUGCAGUCACUUCGACCUUGCCGACUGAGGCACGCGUGUCAGGAUAAGAUGCCAGGCGAUUUGGCCAAGGUUGCUUCACUACGAAGCCUGCCCGAGCUGGCUUCGGGUGAGUCGAGGGUGCGCCCAUUGCUUGAGGAGACCCUCGGGCGAGGUGUGAAUUCGCCUGGGACUACUGUUCUCGCCCGAGGCUGGGCUCGGGCGAGGAGAGAUUACGUCCCUUGAGUAGACGAAGCCUUGACCUGAAUUGCACCCAUCAGUCUCUGCAGUUUGUGCUGAUGGUGAUUACCAGCCGAGUUUAGGAGUGUUGGGGGUACCCCUAAUUAUGGUACCCGACAAGUAUGUAUGGUACCUAUUGUUGUAGAAAUCUUGAAACACAAAGAAUGUUACUUGAUAAACUUGUUUGAUUUCAAAGCCUUGAAGAGAACGAAAAACACUCUACAUAAUGUUGAUAUAUGGAACGUAUAAACAAACAUAACACGUGCGGGGUAAUUAGCUUAUUAAACUUGACUAGUAGUGUGGGUUGGCGGCGAAGCACUUCCCCCUGAUCUCUCCCUCGUCGCUGGUGAGCACCUGGACCUUGCCCAUCUUAGCUAAGGCCUUGGCGAACUUGACCUGCCAUGCCUUCUCGACUGCUAAGUUGAAGUGGACCAUUUUGGCCGUCCAGGGAUUGUCGAGCAGUGUGUUGUCAGAGACGAAUAGGACCUUGUGCGCCAGCACGUUCUUGUAGUACUGGUUGUCGAAGGUCGUCGGUGUGACUGGGUCAAGCGGCACCACCGUGGGGGUCCAUCUGGUCGUUGGUGGACGGCCAAGGGCACCGCGCCUUGAGGUGCCUAGCAUAGGCUGGGUCGAGGGACGGGUCUGUCCGCCCCAGCUGCCCACUGAAGUUGUAGAGCCGCUACGUGAAGGAGGACAGUGGGAGCGGCCGAUGGUGUGCGUGCCAGAGAGCGUGACCAUGUCGUCGGCGUCCUCCACGGGCUGCGGCCGGCACUCGCUCCUCCGGGGCCACCAUCGCCACUGCUCGUGCCUCGGUAACCACCGCCGACGAGUGAGGGGGGCAUGUAGCUCGCUUGCGCCUCACCGGGCCGCGGCCGGCGCCCGUGCCUCAUGGGCUAUCGGCAUCGAUCGCACCUCUCGGGCCGUCAUCGCCGCUCGUACUUAGGGAACUGCUGUCGUCGCUCGUGCGUCAGGAUGGUGGCGUCAAAAAAUGAACUCUAGAGGCCUGGAACUCCUUUUAUAGACGUUGAUACCUGAUUGGAUUGGACUGUGUUGCCUAGUUUCUAGCCUAGGCUUCCUCUAGUUAUUAAAAACCCAAAUAUAUGGACUUUAGUACCAGUUCGUGAUUACAACCGGUGCUAAAGUUUUAACUUUAGUACAACUCUAGCCAAGAACCGAUACUAAUACGGGACCUUUAGUAACGGUUCUAACCAAGAACCGGUACUGAAGUACUAUCUAUAGUACCAGUCAGUGCAAUCGGUAAAUUUGCGGGCUUUUAGUGUCAGAUGCGGUCUUUUAGUCUAACUUUCAAUAAAUACAAGUACAAGAAAUUCAGUUGCAGUUCUCAAAAGCACUUCUCCCUAUAAAGAAAAGUGAAUUGUUUUGGUGAACAUCAAAGAAAAAGCUUGCUCUUCUUUCGUAAAAAAUUCUUCUAAAAAUAACGAACCCAAUCGUUGCAUAAAAGUUUGUACCGUACUUUUAUGUUUACGAGCUAAAGUUCUAGCAUAUGAAAGUCAAUAUAUAUUUUAGUCGAUACAAAGUCUGUUUUUUUGAAGAUCCACUAUGAUAAUGAAAAUAUUUCUACAUAAAACUCUCAGUGUUGUACAGACUACAUACACAGUGCUGGUCGCGGGAAAAAAAGAGCUUCUAUAUUUGUGAUCGGAUGUAAUCACUAAAUAUGUACAUGCAUGUUGUGCAAAUAACACCAUUUUACUUGAUAAAGUUGUUUGAUUUCACAGCCUUGAAGAGAACAAAAACACUCUACUUAAUGUUGAUGUAUGGAACGUAUAAACAAACAUAACACGCGCGGGGUAAUUAGAUAAUUAAACUUGACUAGUAGUGUGGGUUGACGGCGAAGCACUUCUCCCUGAUCUCUCCCUCGUCCCCGGUGAGCACCUGGACCUUGCCCAUCUUAACCAUGGCCUUGGCGAACUUGACCUGCCAUGCCUUCUCGACUGCGGCGUUGAAGUGGACCAUUCCGGCCGUCCAUGGGUUGUCGAGCAGUGUGUUGUAGGAGAUGAACAGGACCUUGUGUGCCAGCACGUUCUUGUAGUACUGGUUGUCGAAGGUCGCCGGCGUGACUGGGUCAAGCGGAACCACCGUGGGAUCCAUCUGGUCGUCGCUGGACGGCCAAUGGCACCGCGCCUUGAGGUGCCCGGCGUAGACGGGGUCGAGGGAUGGGUCCGUCUGCCCCAGCUGCCCGCUGAAGUUGUAGAGCCGCUGCAUGAAGGAGGAGCAGUGGGAGCGGCCGAUGGUGUGCGCGCCGGAGAGCGUGACCAUGUCGUCGGCGUUGAGCCCCUUGCGCUUGAAGCUCUUGAUGAGCUCGUCGACCUCGUCAGUCGGGGCGGGGACAUUGUUGUCGAGCACCUCCUCCUCUUUGGACACGCGACCGUCACGGCGGCCAGACGAGACCUUGUAGUCCAGGCCGCCGGCGAGGUAGGUGCUAUCACGGGCCGCGAACGCGACGAUGUCGGCGCAGGAGACGGUGCGCGGGCAGUGCGCCUCGAGGACGGCCUUGGCGUCGUCGAUGAUGUCAAAGCCGCGCAUGUUGGGGUUGUUGGCCACGGAGUCCUUCUCGGCCUUGUUGCCCGGCGUGGAGUUGAUGAGGAUGGAGCCGUCGUAGCCCCGGACGAAGCAGUCGUGGAAGUGCAUCCGGAUGAGCCUCGCGCCUAUGCCGGGCUCACGGGCGAUACCGCGGCGGACGGCGUGGCGCACGAUGUCCUCGGCGAGGCGUGUGCGUGUGCCGCUGAUGAGGAGACGACGACGAGCGCCGACAAGGCAAAUGCCAACCAAGUGGACCUCAUGACGAAGAUGAACAAUGGGUCGAUCAGAUGCUGCUCUCUCACUCUGAGCUUUCUAUCUGCUUUAGCUCUGGA